CGUAUUGGGCCUCGUGAGUCCAAUUAAAGGAUGUUUUGAAUGAUGUCGGUUAAUGAAUAGUAAUUUACAUAAAUUAUUUGUAAGAUAUUCUGAAAGUUUCGGUAAUGCUUUGAAACCCUGUUUCGACGAUGAUGCGGGUUAGGGGUGUUACAUUAAUAAAUCAGUUAAUGAGGUGUUGUCCUUAUAUCAUCUCCUCGAUGUGGAUAUGACGACAUUGUAUGCCAUAGGUUCCUACACCACCCGCAUAACCUCGAUUGGUUUGUCUUCUCCAAAAUAUUCAUUUUGUUGCGUAUCUGAGUUGAUGUCGAUCAACCUUUUGGUUUACAACGCAAUGAUCUAUCGGGUAACAACUUGAAUGGAGUGCUCGAUACCGGUGACCACAUAUGUUCAUCUAGGACCGGCAGGAAUUCGUUUCUUCACACGUUAUACAAGUACUCUAGUUUGUACACUUCGUCUACAAAGCUUAUGUGAUCCAAACGUUGAUUGUCACAUGCUGCAAUUACAUGAGUGCAUGGAAAACUAAGUGCGUCAAAUCUCCCAUCGUCACAAGUUCAUUUUCUUAGGUGUACACGGUACGCAUACUUUGAUCUGGUUUAUCGAACACCGUAACCCGAAAUACUAGGUUUUCAUGCGAGUGAAACAUUAGAUGCGUACAGUCCGCUCGUGUUGUAGCUUUGUUAAUUUCUUUCAGUACUUCCUCACUCCAAACGUGGCUGCCCCUCGUCAAUCCAACAUAUUUUUCCAUUCACUUUGGAAAAUGUUCAGCCAAACAGAAAUAUGUUUCUUUGACAACCGAGUUUAUCUGCAAAUGAAACGUUCCCUUUAAUACGGAAUUGAUGCAUUCCACAAGGUUUGUCAUCAUGUGCCCAUAUCGUAGACCCCUGUCAUACGAUUGUGUCCACUAAUUGAAGGGUAUGUUAGAGAGGUAUCCCUCCCCGGCAUUGUUAAUUGCCCGUAAGUUUUCCAACAUUUCAUGGAAACAGUGUUUGACGAGCUUGUACACUGUGGAGAAAAGUGAAUAGUUUAUCCAUAAUACCAAAUAUAUGCUGAUCGGUUAAAUAUCAAACAAUUGAAAUAGUGGUAAAUACAUACCCGUGUUGAUCACUUGUACGCGUUAAGCUUUAGAAUUGUGUUGUUCGUGGUAGUUCGUCGCAACAUGUCUUAGACAAUACCUAUGGUGUGUGUGGUCUCAAAGGCUUCCUUGCCGUUCAAUUGCAGCCACUAUUCCAAGUCCCCUAUCGGAAAUGACGCAUAUAUCGAGUUGGAGGCAAACAUGCCUCCUCAACCUAGAAAGGAAGAAAUCUCAAUAGCUUGCUGACACUCUUGACGUUAUUGCAAAAGUAAUCGGAAGGAUGCAUUUUUAGUGCACUGCCAGAAAAAAACACUUUUAGAACGUUCGAGCUUUAGUGCUUUUUUUUAUAGUGCACUAAAAAUGCAUCUUACGUAGAGCAUUUUUCUUCUAGCACUUUCAACUCAACAUUUUUUCCCACUUACCCAUCAGAUAUCCUGAGAUUUUCAAGAUAUAUUUUCUAAAGUUAUCUGAAAGUUGGAAAUUAAUACAUUGAAAAAUCUAAUCGACCUCAACCUCCCGUGAAAAAAAUGAUCAAAACUCAAUUGUAUUAAAAAAAUUUGAAAAUAAAUUACAAACUAAGAUUUAAUCAAAUCGAGUAGUUCAAGUUUUGAUUAUGAAUCGAAUUGAAUUUUACAAUUCGAAUAAUCCGAACAUACGAUAGGUAUAAAUACAAUGCUUCUAAAUAUCAAAUUAAAUAAUUAUUAACUUUACAUAUCAAAAAAUUAUAAAAAAAAUUAAAGAAUAUAUAAAAAUUUUAAAAAAAACUCAAAACCCUACACAAUCCUAAAUCCUAAAAUCCACAAAAUUCUAACCCUACUUUAAAAAAAUAAAACCUUAACCCUAAAAAGAUAAAAAAAAACUACUUCUAACUGAAAACAUUUUCUUGCACAUUAAUUGAAAAUACUUUUAACUAAAAGUGUUUUUGUUAUUUCGACCAAAUCUUGAUAUUAAAAAAAAAUCAACCUAAACUGACAAAUAUUUUAAAAAAAAAGGGAUUUAAAAAAAAUCAUUCAAAAAAAAAAAGGCCAAUAUAGUGGAAAAGACCUAAAUUAUAAAAAAAGACAUGGAAAGUACCCCAGAAAAAGUGGUGGCCACGAAGAGAACACGUGGAGCACAGAGGAAUCGUUUUUAACUGUGGCGAGUCUUAACGCGCCAUCUGGGUUACGUUUUUCCAUUUUUCAACAAGUAAUAAUCAUCAUCAGCACGGUUGAGCGCCACAUUUCAAAAAUCGCCACGUGGCUCGAUAAGACAGCGAGUGACCACACGAUUUCAAUUUCAUUAACAGCAGCAGCAAACCACCAACUGCUAAUAAAUGAAUAAAGUAAUUUACACGUUUUAUCAUCAAUAGUUUAAUUAAAUUUUCAUGAUUGAAUUUCAGCGAGUAAAAGUUUUGCAUAUUUUUAACGUUAAUCCAUAUUAGCUGCUCUAAUUAACAACAAUUCAAGCGUUAGAAUUUUACUUUUUAAUUUUAGACCACAUAUUUAACAAUUUAUGUGCCAAGAAAAUACUGAUUUUAAAAUAUAUUUAGAAAAAUAACAUUUUAUAUUUGAUAUUAAAAAAAUUAAGUUAAUUUUGAAGAGAAAUAAAAAAUGCAUUUUACAAAAUGCGCUUUCUGACUUUUUUUACAUAUUAGUUCUUUUGGUAAGAUGAUUUACUGUUAGUGAUAUUUUUCUAAAUAUAUUGUUAUUUUUUAUUUCAUAUUAUUUUAUUUUUUUUAUUUUUAAUUAAUAAAUAUAUUAUUUUUAAAUUUUUAUUUUUAAUUCAUCUUUUUAAUUAAUAACUCUUUUAUUUAUAGAAUCAAAUAAUUAUUGUCAAAUAUCAUUCUUUGUAAUAAAUAUUUUUUAUAUCUUUAAUAUUUAUUUUUCAAUCCAUAUAAUGAGUGUAGUAAAUUUUAGUAAAAUAUAUUUUUGUACGUGCAUUUGGGAUAUUUCACAUAUAAAGAUAAUGAUAUUUGAAAUAAUUAAUUGAAAUAUUUCACAUAUAAAAAUAUUUGAAAUAUCAUACCCACAAUGUAGAUGAAAAAUAAUGAUAUUUGAAAUAAUUAUUUGAUUUUAUAAUAUUAGAAAUUACCUUACUCAUAAUAUAAGUGGAGAAAAUAAAUAUUAUAUAUAAAGAAAAUUACAUCUAAAAAGUUAGUUGAUGUUUUUAAAAAAUAAAAUAUAUUUAACAUAAUGAUAAAUAUCAAUUUUAUCAAAAAUAUUUUUUGUUAUAUAAUUAUCAAUAAUUAUUUGAUUUUAUAAAUAAAAUAUUUAUUAAUUAAAAAUAUGAAGUAAAAAUUUUAAAAAAAACUUGAAAAUAAUAUAUUUAUUAAUUAAAAAAAUUUUGAAACAACAUGAAAGAAUAUGGAAAUUUAAGAUAAAAUCACUAUUAUUUAACAAUCUACAAGAGGAGUUAAUAUGUUAAAAAUAGGAAUUAAAAUUAAAAAUAAAGCUUGAUACGAUAUGAAAUAAAAAUAGAAGAGGAAUCAAACUCGAGACUCAAGAAUAAAACUACUAACAUUUAACUAUCUGACUAAAAGAACUGAUGUAUAUUGUAGGAUGCGUUUUCUGUUUCUCCCAAAAGUCAAACUAUUUCUCUAAAUAUUUUUUAAAAUCAACAUUUUUUUUCAAUUUUCACCCUAUUUAUGUUUUUUUUUUUGGUAUUAUACACAAAUUGUAAAAUUUACUUAUUUAGAAAAUUAUUUUAAUUUUGAAAGGAAGAAAAUAAGGUUUUAAAAGAUAAAAUAUAUUAAUGUUUGAAGUGAUAAAUAUUUACCUUUUAAAAGCUAAAAAAUUAAAUUAUUUAAUGGUUGGAAUUUAUUAUCCCUUAAUGUUAACUCCAUUAAUAGGAUAAGCAUGAAAAAUAAAAUAAUUAGGAAACACAAAAACUGCGUAUAUGUAUCUAUUACCAAAUAUAUAAUAGAAUUAUUACGUAUCAAAAUUGUCCGCUGUCGUCUCUCACUAUCUCAACAAUUAUCCUCUUUCUUUUCACUUUUUCCUUCUCACUCGCAGCAAGCAAAUAAGAAAAACAAAAUUUCUUCAAAAACCCGAAGUUUCCUCUCAGAACAGAAAAAUGAAAGCGAAAGCUUUGGGUUUUUUAAUGCAUGAUCUGUUUUCAUUGAUUAAUCAAAAAUAUAUAUUUGUUUCUAUUUCUGGGUUUUAAGGGAAAUUCUACCAUUGUUGCCAACUCAAUUGACUUUUAAUAUCGUCAAGAGUGAAAGGGUCAGAGAAUUAUAAUCCUUGCUUUGUAUUGUUCAUUGUUGGGAAUAAGCUGAAAACCUAACUGGAAAUUAGAAUUUGAGUGUUUGUUUGUUAGUUGGAGAGAUGACGCUAGAGUCUUUACCCGGGAGUUCAGGGUAUCUGGAUUUGUUUCCAGAGAGACGAAUGUCAUAUUUCAGUAAUCCUUAUGUUUUAGGACUUACUGUAAUUGCUGGAAUUGGUGGCUUGCUCUUUGGCUAUGACACAGGUAUUAAAUCCCUUUCAACCCUUAUUUCUAACCUUUUGUCUUUUUUUGCUCAUCAUGAGAUUUAUUGUUUAGUCUGGUUCAUCUGAUGACAAAGAUUUGUAUAUUUCUAUAGAUGAAACCAAGUUUUGUUUGAAUGUCUGGUUCAUCUAAUGACAAAGAUUUUUAUGUUUCAAUUGAUUAAACUAAGUUUUGUUUGAUUGUCUGGAUUGUAGCAGCAGAAUUGAACUGAUCUUAGACAUUGAAGGUUUUGUGAACCAGGAGAAGAAAAAAGACUGAGUAAACACAUUUUUGGUCUUAAAUCUGGUGUCAAAGAAAGAAACACUCUUAGUCUAACAUGAUUACAUGAUUGAUUUUCUUUUAAUUCCUCAAUUCAAUUGAGCUUUUGUAACUUAAAAAACCCUUAAAACUGUUAAUCUAGCUCAUUGCUUCUGCAUUAUGUUAUCUGGACUUCUUUAAGCAGUAUCAGAUAUUCAACUGAACAAAACAGGAACACAUGAUUCUCUUCAUUCCUUCUUCUGUUUAAUUUCUCUGGGAACAUGUUCUCAUUUGGAAAUGAUAAUGAUUGCAGGUGUAAUAUCAGGGGCCCUUCUUUACAUAAAAGAUGACUUUGAGAUCGUCAGGCAGAGUAGUUUCCUGCAGGUAUUAUGAACUUGUAAAGGUGUUCUGAAAUACUAAACUUACUUCAGUCAUAAAAGAGCAUGAAAAAGAAAGAAACCAAAGAAAUUUUUAUUUUUUCCUUUUUGUGUAUGAUUGACUGAGUAGGGAAGGAAGAAAUGGUGUUAAUGAUGAGGACUUUGUUAGCAGAUCCCCACAGGCAACUUCUUGUUGGAUCUUGCGUGUUGUGAUAAGGCAACUCUUCAUUUUUUUCCCGAAGCACUUGUGUUCGGCACAUGCUCGGACAUGGUAUGGGGAUAGGAUCCUCUGAGUACAUGGAACUCUUGGAAAAAAACUGCCCAUACCCAUAUCCAAAACUUAUCCUCGAGUCUGAGUAAAAUAGCUUGUGUGUGCUUGCAGCUGCUAGCUUUCAGUUGACUGGAUAGGCAAUUCUAAUCCUGUAAAAAAAGAGCCAAAUCUUGUGUUUGCAAAAGGUGCACAAGGGGAGCAAUUAGGGGAUUGGGAGGGGCCCCAUGUCCCCUAAACAUGAUAGCUUGUGUGUACAUGCAGUUGCUAGGUUUUAGUUGAUUGGGAUAGGCGAUUCUAAUCCCUCUUAAAAGAAAAGGAAAAUUUGGUGUUUGCAAAAGGUGCAGAAGGGGAGCAAUUGGGUGAUUUGGAGGGCUUAUAUUUCUACUGGCCUUUAAACUCGGUAUCUUGUAUAACUCCUAAUGUUAGUUAACAUGCUGUUGUUAAUUUCCUAAUCUUUCCAUGUUUGGAAACAUCCUGAUUCUUUUAGUUGGCAGGAAACUAUUGUCAGCAUGGCCUUGGUUGGUGCAAUGAUUGGAGCUGCAUCCGGGGGUUGGAUUAACGAUGCUUAUGGACGUAAGAAGGCUACUCUUCUUGCAGAUGUUGUCUUUACUGCUGGAGCAAUUGUCAUGGCCGCUGCACCCGAUCCAUAUGUGCUGAUAUUGGGACGCCUUUUAGUUGGCCUAGGUGUGGGUACUGCCUCUGUGACCGCUCCCGUAUAUAUUGCUGAAGCAUCACCUUCGGAAGUAAGGGGUGGGCUAGUUAGCACAAAUGUGCUUAUGAUAACUGGUGGACAGUUUCUUUCCUACCUUGUAAAUCUUGCUUUUACACAGGUCAGCUUGUCUUCCUACUUCAUUUAGUUUCAUCUGCUUGAGCCAAUAUACACACACACAUUAUGUGAUGACAAUUAUGAUAUCUGUAAAAUAUUAUUAUAUUUUGCAUUUAUGAAAAAAUUGCUAUUUUAAGAAAAGUAGGAUUUCCCCAUUUUCCUUUAAAAAAAUGUUUUUCUAUCAGAACUGAAAAUAAAUUCUCCAAUUAUCUUGCUCAAAUACAUUUGUUUGCUUUAGAAGUUUAAUAUUUACAAGGCUGGUGGCGAAUGAAGCUAAUAAAUGGUUGGCUUAACAAGCUUUAGCUGGCAUCUGUAGAUGUUGAACUUACUAGGAUGGUUCAAAUGGUAUAGAGUGUUGAAUGUGCUUGUUAAAUUACUGGUUAAUAAAUCAAUGAUGAUAACUUUUUCAUAAUUUUAGAAUCUCUUUUUGUGGUUGUUAACGAGUUGAACAAAUACUUGAUUAGGUAGCCCUCAAAUUGUGUUCUAAGUAAUACCAGUUCUCUGAGGUAAUUGUUGUUUAUAUUCUUGGAAAAAUAGAGUAAUAUUGUUCUAUUUAUGCACGUUCAUUAUUCUGCCAGAGUGAAAGGGUUUUCAGUUUUGCAGUUUUGGAGACACCGUAUCCCAGAUAUUAAUACAGGGUUUGCAUUUUAUUGGUCUUGAACGGAAACAUCACUGAUGGAACUCACUCGUUCUUUCCUGCUAGUUGGGUUAUGCAUGCGCAACCAUUUUUUUCAGCAUGCUGAAUUUUACCUUGUAAACUAAAUUUUUCCAUGGCACGUGAUUCUUAACUACGAUGCAAUGUAGAUUAAAUGUGUUCCAUGUUCCCCUAAAAUGUGUGAUAAUGAAACGAAAACCAGAACUUAGACAGUGUGUUUAGAAGCUUUGUUACCUUCUUUCUGAAGCCAUUUUUUUGGGCUAAUUGUCCACUCAGAGCUAAGACCUUCUAGUUUGAUCUCAAAAUAUAGAUCCAAUUUCGAGGCUAUGGGGACUAAGCUUAUUGCAUUUUCUGCUAGUAGAGACCCGUGGUUUUGUAAAACAAAUCAAAGCAUCUUAAGAGAAAUAAACAUUUGAUUCUGUUAGCAUAACUAGUUGAAAUCAUAUCCGUUUAAAUCUGGAUAUACGAGUUUUGAGGUCUUAAUGUUCUUAGAGAUGAGAGAAGCAUAUGAAUGUGUGAAGGAUCGGUCCAAAUGUUACCGGGCAUUUAUGCAUCAUAGGACUUCAUGCAUUCCAAAAUGUUUUCAAGUACCACUACUUGCUGUCUAAAACAUUGUUGCUCGAACAGGUUCGAGGAACAUGGAGAUGGAUGCUUGGAGUUUCAGCUGUGCCAGCUGUCAUUCAGUUUUUCCUUAUGCUAUGUUUGCCCGAGUCUCCACGAUGGCUUUUCAUGAAGGUACUUGUAGUACUUCGGGGGAAUAUCUUUGUUGAUUCUGUAUAAUCCUUUAAUGAACCAUCUCAUCAUAUUGUACAGAAUGAGAAAGAUAAAGCCAUAGCUGUGCUUUCUAAAAUUUAUGACAUUGCUCGGUUAGAAGAUGAAGUGGAUCACCUUUCUGCUGCACUAGAAGAAGAACAGCAGAGAAAGAAUACUGUCAGAUAUUUGGAUGUUUUUAGAACAAAAGAAAUUAGACUUGCUUUUCUGGCUGGGGCAGGACUGCAGGUAAGAAAACUAUCAUUGACAUUCUUUUAGAUUGUGUUGCCUAUUGGAAUUAAGUUUUUCUUCUAUAUUUUGUUCUAGAAAAUCAACUGGUAAAUCUUGUCAUUGCUUGAAACACCACUUUGUCUAAUUCCAAGUGCGCUUAACAUGACUCAUGGCCCUUUAUGUCUUGUAUUUGUAGGCUUUUCAGCAGUUCACUGGCAUCAAUACAGUUAUGUACUAUAGUCCAACAAUCGUCCAGAUGGCUGGCUUCAAUUCCAAUCAGCUAGCACUUCUGCUGUCUCUCAUUGUCGCUGCCAUGAAUGCAGGAGGAACUGUUGUCGGCAUUUACCUUAUCGAUCAUUUCGGAAGGAAAAAGCUGGCUCUUUCAAGCUUAUCUGGUGUCAUCGUGUCCCUUGUCAUCCUUGCUGGGGCCUUUUUUGCUGAAACACCUGGUUCUUCUAAUGGAAUUUAUGGAUGGCUGGCAGUCAUUGGAUUAGCCCUCUACAUUGCAUUCUUCGCACCUGGAAUGGGGCCUGUUCCAUGGACUGUGAACUCAGAGAUAUACCCUGAGCAAUACCGAGGGAUCUGUGGGGGCAUGUCGGCUACUGUGAAUUGGAUUUCAAAUUUGAUUGUGGCCCAGACUUUUCUUACAAUUGCUGAAGCAGUGGGAACUGGUGUUACUUUCUUGAUUCUCGCUGGCAUAGCUUUGCUUGCAGUGGUUUUUGUGAUUGUGUAUGUGCCGGAGACCAAGGGGUUGACAUUCGUUGAAGUGGAACGAAUUUGGAAAGAAAGGGCUUGGGGAAGCAGUUAUAACACUGAAAGCCUUCUCGAGCAUGGAAACGAGUCCGCCUAGUCACUAUCGAAAUCAACCCGGCAUGCUUUUCUACAAAGUCGAUAUCCUGUCCUGGAGGCAGUUGAAGGUGUGAGCUUCAUCUUUCUACACAUAAAUGUCGAAAGGUGAGGCAUCUUAAAACAUUUAGAUUGUUUACUGCAUUUUGGUCUUGCAUAUUUCAAAGUUGAGAAGGAACUUGGUGGUGAUGAUAGAUAACCUUGUAUAUAUAAGUUGUAUUAUCGCCAACGGCACGGGACAUCUUUUAAGUAGGCCCGAAGUUGAGGCAUGAUCCUUGUAUAUGUUCUUUAGCUCAUGUUUUCAAAGCCUUGUUGGAAGCAAAAACGGCAGCAUUGGAAUCAUGAUGGAUUGUUUUUAUUGUAGUGGACACCCCGAAACAGCAUCUAAUUGGCCUUUUAAAAAAGAAGAAAAACACAGCCCUUUUAGAAUGCAUGAAACCAAAGAGUGGAUAAUUAGGGUUAAGAUUGACCCCCCUUUUUUUUUUUAUCUUAUUUCAAUUUUAUUUUAUUUUAAUUUAUAAAUAGGAGUAUAAUUUGUCUUUAUUCUGUAUUAGUAAUAAUAUCAAUUCUAAUUAAACUAAGAUUUAAUAUUUAAAUAUGAAUUUAAAUUAUCGUUUAAAUAUCUAAGUUCAAUAAAUAUUAUAAAAAUAUUAUUUAAAAUAAAGUAAAAUAGAUAAUAGAUUUAGUUGUCCAAAUUUGAAUACGUAUACAUAAAUUCAUUAUCUAAAAGUAAAGCAAAGCAUAUUUAUAUAAUGGAUAGUUGAGUGUUAAUAAUCGCAUUUAUUUUGAAUUUGUUACGAAUAAUAAUUUGAAUAUUAUAAAUUUAAAUAUUAUUUAAAUUUAUAAUAUUCAAAUUAAAAAAAUAGGCAGUCAAAAUAUUCGAAAUCACGCUACAUAUCGUCAUUCCUAAAUUAUAUAUAUAUAUAUUUCACUUAUUAUCUUUUUAUUGUUGGAUUUUUAAACAUAAACAAUAUAUUUUUUAUAGUUAAUAUUUGGUACAAAUAUCAUAAUUUGAUAAUUAUAGUUCAAAUACCUAAGUCUUGAAUUUUUAUUUCACUAUUUCAUAAAUAGAAUUGUUAUACAUUAGUGACCAUCAGCCCGAAUCCAAGAUAGGAUCUGAGUUGCCUACCCUUUAUCCGAAUAGGUCCCGCCAAAUAAUUGAGUAUAAGGCAAACCGUGAGAGGACAACGAGGGGAGUUCGCUGAUCAAGCUCACAAAGAGAGCUCACACGAACCAAAAGAAAGUUGUGGUCUUAGUUCGCAUAUACCCAAGGAUAUUGCAAAAGGGAGACCACAUGAUCUGGCAGGCAAUCCAGAGUGAAACGCCUAUUUAGCACGCCUGAGUUCCGCUCAGGACGUCAGUCCUAGGAAUAGUCGGGUCAAGUCAUGAACAAUAAGGUCAUGUCAUUAAUAGUAAUAGUAUGUAUAAACACUCGAAUGUUCUCAUUAAUAAAAUACGAGAGAAAUUACUCAAAAAUUGGUACGGUGAGCGUGGAUGAACUUCCAAUCAUUAGAUUUUUUAGUUUGAUUUUCUUUUAUUCAGUUUCAGAAUAGAAAUGGUUCACCUAAAUGAGAUUUCCCCUUCAACCUUUCAUCAGGACAGGCUGGAGCAUUAUGUUCUAGCGGUCAGCAUAAUGAAGAAGAUUUGUUUGCUAGAUGGUUUACCGAUAGACAGUAGAACUUCAGCAAUGCAGUUUAUCAAGUAGUUUCUAGUCCUCUAGACCUGAAUGUUUCCGUCAAUCAGAGGUUGUCGUUUUCUCAUAGCCAAGAGGCACCCCCACAAUAGUUCUUUACUUUUCAAGAGCAAAUGAGGUUAAUGAGGGAACAGAUAGUCAUUCAAGAGGCACGAUUCGAGUAACAACAAGCUUUUCAAGAAAAGCUACUGAAGCAGAACGAGGAGUUAAAAAGGAAGAUGAAUUCUGACAAUUUUGGCUUUCAGGAUAACGUGAAUACGCAAGACGAGGUCCAAGGAAUGCAGGUGAAAGAGUGGUAGAAUGAGAUGGACGAGUUACAGAGGGAUGUAAGUGCAUUGUAUCCUGAAUCUCAAGACAUGGAUUAAUUGUUUUGUUCUAACAAUCCAUUGGCCUCUAAAAUUGUAACGGUGAACUUAUCGUAUGACUUCAAGGUCCCAAAAGAUAUGUUCGAAGGAAUGAGGGACCUGCGAGCCCAUUUGAUGCAACACAACGACUACAUGAAUGUGUUAGGGGCAUCAGAUGUAGUAAAAUGCAAGGCAUUUUUCAUGACGCUUAAGGAAAGUGCCAAGGACUGGUAUUUGUCCCUUCCUCAAGGUUCAGUUUGAAGUUUCUCGCAAAUGGGAUAGAUGUUUUUAGGAAGAUAUAGGGCUCAUAGAGCAAUCAUGAGUACACACCUAUGGGGCUGGUAUUGGUAAAGCAAGGAGAUGGUGAGUCCUUUCAAGAUUAUGUGAAGAACUUCCAUGUAGUUACCCUCAAUAUGAAGAAUUUAGAGAACUAGUGGGUUAUUGAUGCCUUUAUAAUGGGAGUACAAAAUAAUCAUGUCCAAUACUCCUUUACAAAUAAUAGACCGCAAAGUUUGACUUACUUGUUCAAGCCCACAAGUUCACAGAAGUGGAGGAAAUCAAAAGGGCAUCUCGUGGCACCUUUUAGAGGGAGGAUAGACAGUCCAGGAAUAGGGAAAGACCUCGUAGUAGACAGGACACUCUUGACCAAUAGUUGUGAGUAAGAAACGAUAGGCCAGAGAAGUCAAGCUCAAGGUAAUUUUCCUAGGGCCCUCAGGGAUCUCAACCAGAGCACACUAGGAGGUAUGUUCACCACAGAAGAUUUAAAGCUAAUACCCUAUUGAAUGCCACCCGUACCUACAUUCUCAGUCAAGUCAAAAGCCUUGGCAUCUUACCCAAGCAGCCCCCGAUAAGGAGCACUAUCAGAAGGUUGAAUUCAAAUAACAAAUGUGUCUUCCACGAUGACAUGGGACAUAAAACUGAAGAUUGUUUCACUCUGAAGAAUGUUAUAAAAGAGGCAGUGUGAAAUGGCGAGCUCGCAAAGUUUGUGAAUCAGUGUGGUUCUUAACAAGGUCAAGGUUUGUGCAGUGAUCCUAAGGGUAAAAAGAAAGUUAAAGGUACCAUCCAUAUGAUUUUGGGUACGGAUGAACAAUGGGUAGGUUCCAACGCAAAGAUGAAGGCACACAUGAUAAGUGUGAUGUUAGUUAGCACUCUCAAAAAGUCACAUCAGCAAGAAAGGUAGAAUGUUGAGUUUGGCAAUGAUUAUGAGGAAUUGGUCUGCAACGACAAAGGUAAUAAUCUGAUGGUUGUCUCAACGACAAUAGCAUGUUUUAAGGUUAAGAGGAUACUAGUGGAUAGUGGAAGUGCGGUUGAGGUGUUAUCUUGGGAUGUAUACCAGAAUAUGGGGUUGAAGGAACAGACAUUGUCAAGGGCUAGUCCAUUCUAUGGUUUUGCGAACCAUCCUGUUGAGGUGAAGUGCUCGAUCACUUUGCCAAUCACCUUGGGGAUGGCGAGCACACGACUACAGAGUAUGUACAAUUUUUCGUGAAAAACCACCCAAUGGGUACAAUACUAUCAUUGGACGACCAAUAAUGAAGAUGGCAAAAAUGAUGGUCACAACAUUUUGCAUAGAGAACAAGUUCUCGACGAGGACAGAGGUUAGGGUCUUGCGAUCUGAUCAGUGAAUCACGAGGCAGUGCUAUAUGUUAUCCAUUAAACAAGUGCGAGAGCUGAUAGCGGAGGGACAGAGCUUGUAGGGGGCAGAGUUGGCAAGUCAAGUUCUAGAUUUAAACAAUUUAGAUGUAAGAGACAAAGAUAGAGGUAAAAAAACUCAAAGUUGCAUAGCACAUCGAGACCUUGCAACUAUUCUGUGACGAGGAAGAAACUGUUAGAAUCUCAUCGGCAUUGGUGGCAAAAGAUUACAGCAUGUUAGUCCAGUGUUUGAGGAAGAAUUCAGAUAUUUUUGUCUGGUCAGCAGUAGAUAUUCCAAGAGUAGACCCCAAGUGAUUGUCCAUAAGUUGAAUGUGUUCCCAGAUCCAUAAGUUGAAUGUGUUCCCAGAUACAAAACUAAUAAAGCAGAAGAAGAGAAAAUUUGAGUUGUAGGUGGUGAAAGCAAUAAGUCAAGAAGUGGCUAAACUGUUGUCAAUGGGUUUCAUCAAUGAAGUAAAGUACCCAGAUAGGGUUUCAAAUAUGGUUAUAGUGAAAAAGGAAAACGAAAAAUGAAGAAUGUGCAUUGACUUCACUAACAUCAACAAAGCAUGCCCUAAAAAUAGUUUUCUUCUACCUUCGAUUGGCCAUUUAGUUUAUGCCUCUACAGGUCAGAGGUUCAUGACCUUCAUGGAUGCCUUCUCAGGCUACAAUCAGAUUCUGUUAAAACAAGGUGACCAGGAAAAAAUAGUUUUCAUCAUGGAAGAGGGGAUUUUCUACUAUCAGGUUAUGCUUUUUGGCCUUAAGAAUGCAGGGCCAACCUAUUAGAGAUUAGUGAAUAGAAUCGUCAGAAACCACAUAGGUCGUGGACUUGAGGUUUAUGUGGAUGACAUAUUGGUAAAAAGUGAAUCUAUGGGAGAUCCUGUGUAAAGCUUAUUUGAGAUAUUCGCAAUCUUAAAAGCUCACAACAUGAAGCUAAACCCUAAAAAGUGUGCCUUCGACGUGUGAGCUAGCAGAUUUUUAGGCUUCAUGAUUUUAGAAAGAGGGAUAGGAGUAAAUUUGGAAAAGAUUCACACGAUCAUGGAAAUAUCUCCCUCACGAACCAUAAAAGACAUUCAUCACCUCACAAGUACAGUGGUGGCACUCAAUAAGUUCAUUUCCAGAAUGGUAGACAAGUGUCUCCCAUUCUUCAAAGUUUUGAGAACCUCUUUUUCGUAGAUUGAAUAGUGCAAAGAAACUUUUGAAGAAUUGAAGUUGUAUCUUACUUCCCUUCUGCUCUUGAAAUCCCCUCAGGUGGAAGAAACCCUCUAUUUGUAUUUGGCUACCUUGGAGGAGACAGUAGCAGCAGUGUUAGUCAGAUUAAAAGGCGUUCACCAAUUCCCAGUGUAUUACACUAGCAAGGUACUCUAGAGCGGUAAGCUGAGGUACUUGAAAAUAAAGAAGUGUACUUUUUUCUUUGAUGGAAGCAGCUCGCAAGUUGUGGCCGUACUUCCAAGCUCAUCCAAUCGUUGUCAUAACUAAUCAGCCCACAAAGGAAGUGUUGUCCAAGGCAGACACCUCAAGAAAGGUAACAAAGUAGAAUAUUAAGUUAGCUGAAUUUGGGGUGGAAUUCACUUCGUAAAUAGUAGUAAAAGGGCAAGUGCUAGCUGAGUUUAUGGUAGUGUGUUCUUUUAAGGAGACUACUGACACAACAGUAGUUAACCCACCUGAUAUGCUCCCAAGUUCCUAGCAAGUUAGUAGUUUUGAUUAUACAGCACAUUAUUUUGCUCCUUCAUUUCCAAAAGCUACUCGCAAUCCCUUUUACAUAGGGCUGCAAGCUCCUUAUAGCGGGUCUCAACCCCACCAGCAUAUUUUUUAACACCCAGGUGAGGCUUUAUCCCACAAUAAUUGUAGAAAUAAUUCUCAAGCCCCUCUUUAAGAUCGGUCAAAAUUCAGCCCAAGUCAUUGUUAUUAUUACAAUAAACUCCAUGUGGCCAUGACCGAAUCUCGGCGACUACUCUAAGUGCUUCAGCGACCUCUUUAUUAUCAUCUAGCCUAUACCCAUUAGGGUUGCAACCCUCUAGGUAGUAAUGGAAUACGUUCCUCACAGUGAUGAGGUCUUCGAUGAUCAAAUGACUCACAAUACAAAGCAUUUCCCAUUGGGCUUUCAUGUAAUCUGUUCUUAUGGUCCGUUUAAACAAGCACGUAUCCUAGCUCAACAAAAACCACUUCGUAGGAAAACCAAACCCGUCUACGACCUUGCAUCUUACCUUAAUAUGUUUUUCCCAUUUUAACUGAAGAUUAGAGCAGCGGUUCACGAUAAUUGUUUCACAUUUUGGGUGAAGAGAAAAAUAAUAGAAACCUGACUAAUCUCCUCAAUUCUGAGCCUUCAGCAAAUACAAACUCUAAAAAACGGCGAGCUCUGGUACUUUAUUUCGACGAAGAUAGUCAAUAAAGUAUGAGAACGCGAUCCACCAGAAGAAUCUGCAAAAUUUCCUAGGAGCAAUCCCAUACUCACGCAGGAGGUGGCAAAAGAACGGAUAAAGAGGUAGGUGAAACCCAGCCUUCAAAACAUAAAGGGGGAGCAAGAAACCACUAUCGCUUACAUCGCUAAGGUUGUGCUCCCUUUCAGGAAUAGAGAACUCGUACGCGAAAUGAAGAAUUUCAAUCCCCCGUGCACGCAAACUCUGUUUCAUUUCUUCAUAUUUUAUAAUACAGAGGACAACCUUAGCCUCGAUGGAGGUCUUAGAAGCACGUUCCUGCAGUGGGCAAUGGGGGAGUAAUUGGCCACCGACUCCUCUCAUUCUUGGCAUAUUCGGUGAAGAAAAGAAAAGAAAAAUGCGGAGAAAAAUUUUUACCUUGAGAAAAAUCUUUGACUUGUUCUAACUUCAAAAAUGUUAAGUAUGAAUUUUAGGGUUUCAGAAGCCCCUCUUCUUAAAGAAAUUUUUCCCUGCGUAAUGACGGCUCGAAUAACCAAGAAGUCUCAACGGUCAGAUUCGUACAAGCACGAUCGACCUGUACACAUGGCGAAGCACACAUCAGAUCCCAAUAGUUGCUACGUAUUCCACAAGCUACAAUAAAUGUGAAAUGAUAGCCUUAAAGAGCGCUACUUUGUAACACUCCUUAUGCUCACUAUGAGAGGGACUAGAUUGUUAUACAUCAGUGAUCACUAGCCUGAAUCCUAGAUAGGAUCCGAGUCGCCUACCCGUGACCUGGAUAGGUCCCACCCGAUAAUUGAAUAUGAGGUGAACCGUGAGAGGACAGCGAGGGGAGCUCGCUGAUCCAGCUCGCAAUGAGAGCUCAUACGAACCAAGAGAAGCCAUGGUUUCGGUUCGCAUAUACCUAAGUAGCUCAUAGAAGGGGAGAUCACGUGGUAUGACAAGCAAUCUAGAGUGAAACACGUGUCCAGCAUGCCUGAGUUUCGCUUAGUACUUCAGUCCUAGAAAUAGUGAGGUCAAGUCAUGAAGAGUUGGGUCAGUCGUGAAUAGUAAUAGUAUAUAUAAAUACUUGAAUGUUCUCAUUAAUAAGAUACGAGAGAAAUUACUCAACAGGAAUAUACGUCACUUUCAAAACCCUAUUUAUAAAAUUUAAAAAUUCAACUGGCAGUAUACCAAAUAAUUUUACUAUCUUUUCAUAUUUAUAGUAUAAUAUAGUAUAUUUAAUUUUCAUAUGGUAAAAAUUACAUAAUAUAUAAAAUGAGCUGAGCUUCUCUUAAUUUGAAUGAAGCAGUGGUUAAAGCUCUUGUUAAACACUUGUUUGAUUCAAGUUUCAACUGUGCUACUCCCAUCCCCUAUCCCUAAUAUUGUAUAAAAAAAAAAAGAGCUAGCUUAGCUUUGAAUAUUAAAACCUGAACUUGACCUAUAGGCCUAGCUUUUUUACCUAAGCACAUUUUAUAGGCCAAAUGUUUUUUUAUAAAUCCUACUAAAUUUCGGACCAACGUUUGAACUUGAAUCCAACCCUUAAGUAGGUCUACAAUAGAGGUGUAUUGCUUUGUUAAGAUAUCCAUAUUAUCGAUUUCAAUGUAGUUUGUUGUAUCAACUCGAUUUUGUCAAAUUUCAAGUAAUUUAAAUAUAUAUAUCAUAAUCUAUUUUUUCUUUAUAUAUUAUAUAUACAUGCAAAAUAUACUUUAUCAUAUUUGUAUAAAUAUAUUUAUAUGUAAAUACAAAAUUAUAAAUAUUUAGUAUUUGAACUUUUUAACAAGUAAUAAAUAAAUAUAUUGUUGUUAUGAAUUAAAUAAUAAAAAAAUAAAAGAACAAGAAAUAAGAGAGUAAAAGAGUCAUAAUACUCCCAUUGGAUGUCUAUUAGUAGAUAAUGUACAUCAUUAAAAUCUUACAAAGAUAAAAAAUCUGUGAGGAAAAAAAUCUUAGUGAAGGAAAAAGAAUACACAUAUCUAUAAUAUAUAUAACAUGCUGACUUAUUAAAAAUCUUAUUAGGAAAAUACAAUUGGACAAAAUCUCGGUUAAGAGAAAAAGAGUACAACGUGUAUUUCAAUUUGUACGUUUCCAAUCUUGAACACUAACUUUUCAAAUGAUCACUUGAACAAUUUUGAUAGACUCUAAUAUCAUUAUUUUUUUUAAAGUUACAAGUGAGGCAGAAUUUGGGAGAAAUAUAUUUUUAGCUCUUCAGAAAUUUUAACAAUAAUUAUAGUAAACUUUAAUCAUGAUCCUUCUAUAAAAAAUAUAUAUAGGUAUUUUGGAUCAUUUUAUAAUCUUCCUUCAACUACUAUUCACUAAGUCAAAUAUACCAGAGAAUUUUUAUUAGCUUCUAUCAUUCUAAAUCUUUCAAGGAUUCUUAAUAUAAACUUCCAUUAAAUAGUAAUCAUAUAAAGCUCAUAACAACAACCAUUAAACAUGUGUUAAAUCUUUCAUUAAGUACCAGACUAAUGAGAUAUCUAAUAGUUUAUUGAAUCCACCACAAAAGAAUAUUAUAUCUUUUCAAUAUAGGGACUUAGCGAAAACCUUCAAUUUUUUCUUUCAUUUUCGCAAGAUUAGGCAUAUGUACCUUCACUGACUUUAUACCUUUAGAUGUUUAGGCUAAUGGUCUAAAAACUUUAUGAAUUUGAUUCUAUUUGAAUUGUCUUUUUUAUUUUGAUCAAUUUAUUCCAUAUUUGUAUUUCUUGACAUAUUCAAGAUCUUCAUUUUUUUUCAUUAUUUCAAUAAUACUAUUGGAUGCAAAAUCAUUAUCAGCAACUUUUUAUUCUCAUGGUUCCAUAUUUUCUCAUAUUGACACAACUUAUUGAGAUAUCUUUAUUUUCAUUAUUUUCAUAUUCAGGUACUUGAAUCUCUUCUGGAGUUUUAAUAAUUAGUUAUGUCUUAGAUCUCUUCAAGAGCACUCGCCUCCACUAUAUAACCAUCUUGAUUUAUUAUUUUCUUUUAUAAGAAUUUUUAUCUUUGGAACCGAUCGAUCUAUCACACUUCAAGCAUGCAUUACUUUCAUUUAUUCUAACAAACUGUCCUACUUGGCAGAGGUGAAGCCAGAACAAAUUUUUAGGGGGGGUGAAUGAAAAUUUAAUUUUUUAUAGUCUAUAUCUUUAUAAUUUUUAAAGGACUAAAUCGUAUUUUUAUAAUUUUAGAGGGGGCCAAAGUAUAAUUUUAUCUUUACUAAUUUAAAAUUUUAAAAAAAUUUCAAGGGCCUAAAUAUAAAUUUUCCAUUUUAGGGGGGCUAGGCCACUGCCAGCCCCCGCUUGUAUCUGCCUCUGCUACUGGGACUUUGAUUCAAAUACAUCUGCAAUUAACUUGCAAUAAAAUGAGUUAUCCUUUUUGAACUUCUGAUUUAUAUUACUUUUUAUGACGAUCCAUCUAAUUAUUAUUUCUCUCCCCUAAUGUUAGGAAAACUGCCAAAUCAAAAUUGUAAUCACUAAAUCAUGUCAUAAUUGAGUCUCAAUAAUACAAGGAGACUCAUAACUAAGGUAUAUUAUCAACUGUCUUUAAAUAUUCAUUUUGUGCAUUGUGGAGGAACAACUUAAACAUAUAUUGCACAUUCUAAAAUUCUAAAAUACAUUGUAUUUGACUCUGACCAAAAACCAACUAUAAUGGGGAGUAUUUAUUAAAACUUAUUGGCAUGAUGCGUAUAAAAUAUCAUAUCCUUAUACUUACAUAAACUUUUGUUCUAAAAGAAUAUAAUUUAGCUACUAACGGGAGGCAUUUAAUUAUUAAUUGUUUGUACAUAAAAAUAAAAUUUUAAAAUAAUUAGUCACAUUGACAAUCUAACUUACAAUGAUCAUUGAAAGUUCAAGUAAUAAAUUCACCAACAUUAACAAGAAUUGUCCUAAUUGCAUUGUCUAAAAAUUUUGUUCUUAAACAAAUCAUUAAGCAAUUAAUCUCGCAAACUAUAGCUUACAAUUUAAUAAUUCACAUGUGAUUAUCUUGUACAUGCAUCAGCUAAAAUUAUAUCAAAAUAUUAGAUCCAUAUUUCUUUCAAAAUACACAAAAUUCAAUCUCAAUUUUCAAUUUUUGUAAGUAGACAUGGGCCCUUGCAUUACUCAUUUAAACCCGUAGAAGUACCCUAUCAAACCUCCCUUGAAAAUUGAAAACUCGAGUUAUACAUGCUUGAAUCCAAUUAAAAUCUUUGGGGAAUUCUAAUGCCCUAGUAUGUAAUUAAAAAUUUUGAAAUUUAAUGUACUUUAAAAGGUUGAAAAUUAGAUAUUUUAAUUUUAUAAUUUAAAAAUUUUAGUCCAACCAUUAAUAUUAUUAGUAUUUUCUAUCAAAAAUUUCCACGUUGUCAUGUUGAUUAGAUUACUGUCAUAUGAUGUUACAUGUGAGUGACAAAAAAAUAAACAUAUUAAGUUGUCAAAUUUUGACAAAAAUUACCCAAAUAAUGAUUAAACUAAAAAAUUUUAAAUUGAAAAAAUAGGAUUAAAUCUUUUUUUAACUUUUAAAGUACAUGGACUAAUGGCAUAUUUUAACCAAAGGAAAUCCUGAUGUAUGGAAUCAAAGGCCUUCCUCGUAUCAAGAGGGGACAAAUUUCCCAUCACAACCAUUUACCAACUCUUGAGCAGAAGAGCAUUAUUUACAAAACUCCAACCCUCCAUAAAAGCACUAUGAUUAAUAGAUAUAAUAGAUAGCAAGCAUGAACUUGGUCUAUACUUAAGAACUUGAGCUGGGUUUGGGGCCAAAGCAAGAAUAGUAUAACUAAAAGACCCUAACAGCUGACCAGAAUCAAAGAAAAAAUUGACAGUCCUCACCACAUCAGCUCCCAAUGCUUGAAAGAGUUUGGCAGUAUAGCUAUAGAGAAGAUAGUGGAUUUAAUAUCCUCAUCUACAACAGGACAAACCAAACCAGACUUAAGAUUCUCUUCUAACAUGCGAUUACAAUCACUCUCAUCUAAAACUCAAAUUAUGAUAGUUUAAAAUUUCCAAAAAAAAAAAAAAAAACAGACUGAACCGGUAUCAUCCCUACCAUGUACAAACAGAAAAAACUGUAGUUAACCAGUAGUAACAAAACAUGUAAUUUUUCCUCGUCUACUGAACAAUGAACAAUUUGUGACUGAUGUUAUUAAAAUCCUGAUAUAUUAAAUAAGUUUUUCCUCAUAUGUUAAAAUGAAAUGUUUCAUAAAUAUCAAGCAAACCCUUCAGGUUUCUGACUGACCGAAAUAUCUUCCUGAAAUUGUGGCCAAAAUGUUUAGCAUAAUAACUUCAUCAUCGACCUCACACUUCCCAGCUCUCAAGUUAGCACACUUCCGGAGCAGACUACGAAGAGAUGCACAAGUAUCCGCAUCCAAAGGCGUGUCGAUUGCUGCACAUAAAGCAAAUAGCCACACACAGCUGCUCCUCGAUAGUGAGCUCAUGUUCUCAACCGAACUUAUCCAUUUCCUAAGCAUCAAAACUCGAGCUACUGAGUCCAUCUUUUGGAUUGUGGACAAGGUCGGGUAGUCACCACAAGCCUCACUGAUAGAGGUUUUAGGACAUGAAUUGUUGUGAGACAAGGAAAUCUUGUUGUCUGCAGCAUUCAACAAAGGUACCUGGUCAGAACGGACUUCACCGGUUGCAUGACUGUUCAAUUUCUCGAUAACGCCACUGGCCGGCAACUGAAACAAAUCAUCCUCUCGAACAGAUAAUUUUGGUAGCUUACAAGAAAUCUCAGUAUUGGGAUCCUCCAUUUGUAACAGGGCCUGAGAUCAAGAAAGGAAACAAAAGUUAAUUUUUCUUUCAGGUUUUGAAAUCUUAAAAGAUAGCUUUAGAAUUUAAAGAAAUGAAAGCUUUUCUCCUAUGUUGUUUCAACUUUAUUUUUGUUGUACCCAUGUUUGACUCCAUGUUUGAUAUAUAUUUGAACAUGAUUAGGGAGAAAUAUGUGCAAAAAACUCAGUUUUAAAGACUCCAUUGUACCAGAAAAUUCAGUUUUAAACACUUUGAAAAGAGGAAGGGGAAAAGGUUCGAAAUAAGCAUUGUUAAGGGAUCUAAGAUCGUUCAUUCACUCAAUAUGCACUUCAUAUAUUAUAAAUAUAUAUAUAAAUAUAUCCAAUUUCAAGAUUACAUGUUUCUCUUCAAGAUUAUCUAUCAGUAUACAAAGUCAAGCAAUGAUGGCAGAAGAAACAAAACCCAAAAGUACAUACCAGUCGUAGCUCUGAAAAAUCUGCAAGAAAUGCAUCCUCCCAAUGUUUCAAUGGCAAUAUAUGUUCCGGGCACUUAGCAAUUUCAGGAAUCUGAGGCAUAUAAACACUUUGUUCCUUGUUCAAUAUAGUCCUGUCAGGCUUGGCGAUCUUUACUUUUGGAAUUUGAGCAGCUUCCCACCUAAACAGGAAGUUAAGGACUAUUAGUUUGAUACAAUUAGAAUACUCGUAUUAACCAUAGAAAAUCUCUAUUUUGUAACGUAAGAUCUCCAACUGUCAAUCAAAAAGCAACUCCAAUGAAAACUAGACUUGAAAUCUCGCAAAUAAAUGCAAUAAUGUCGAAGAGGUUUCCAAUAUGAUUUAUUAUCCUAACAAAAAUUAACUACAAGUAACACUUAAUUUUGUAUCUACGGCUCCACGAAACCAACAGGAUAAGCAGAGAAGUCACCAUGAGAUAUUGAGAAUAAAGCACUGGAAGAAUGUCUGAUGAUCAAAACCAUUCUAAUGCCAUAACAUUGAAUUGGCAACAGGCCAAAGGGCCAAAACUUAUAAGCCAAGGUUAGAUGAUAUUCCAUACUAAAGACCUAAACAAGUGUUGAAGCUUCCACAUCUGCACCUCCACACUCCAACAAUCUUAAAUUAGUCGGACUCAGACAUAUGUUCAGGUUUCCUGAAGCUUGACCCUGAAAUGUUGCAAUUGCAAGGCUACAGGGGAGGACAGAAAUUAUGCUAAUAAGUACUGGAACUCUACAAGUAUGCAAAUUCUUUCACUUAAAUGAGGACAUGUUUGAGAGAGUUCAGCAGCUGUUGUACUUUCUUUAGCAUAGUUUGAACUGUGAUACGAACCUAGGAAUAGGUCUGUGAAAAUGGAUAAACCUAUGAAAGCAAAACAGCAUUGCUAAUAAAGAAAAUGGAUAAAUUAAUUGACAAUUUAGAGAUAAGGAAGGAUUACCUGACACGCCUAAGAUAUUCUAAUCCAUCCUCCGGAGGACCAGACUCGAAGUCAGGUUCCCCUUCUACCACGAAAGCAGGCCUAAGAAUGCUGGUGUAAUCUUCAUCACUGUCAUCAUCUUCAAUACAUUCUUCUUCCGCGUCAACAAAGGAAUCAACUUCAACAUCACGAGUAGGAGAAAAACUGAAAGGAUAUAUAUUUUCCAUCUCAUUAUCCUCCAUGUAUUCUAGUUCAUUACCCACAUUUUCAGAAUAAUCCCCUGAAAGGGAUCGAAAUAUUUAACGAGUGCUUGUGCAUAUCAGAAUAUUGAAUCCAAAUAAACAGCAAAACAUUUCAAAUAUGCAAGAAAAAGCCAACAGCAAAACAUUAUAAACAUGCAAGUAACAGCACAAGAAAACAUUGCAAAAUGCAUGUAACAGCAAAUGGCUAAUAAAAGCUUUUCCAUCGCAAUUCAUUAAAGAAUAUCAUCACUUUAUUACUUUCUAGUUACAAAGAAUGUAGCAUAUCAUCUGUACCACUAACACACAUUAGAUCUAAAAUACCCAACAGCAACACUCCAACGGACAAUAGCCUAUUGGUAGUAAACACAGAAAUAAUGCACCUAAGUACACACAAGAAAAUCCUAUCAGUUCAAUUGUUGAACAUAAGGUCUUUUUCCAGAUCGAUUCAGGCCAUUCUUCAAUGUACAAAGAUAUUGAGACCAUUCCUUGUUCCUCUUCCAGCAACCACACCUGUUACAACAGAAAAUGAACCCAUCAAGUUGACACUAAAUGAGCUGGAUUCUGGUCGAUGACUGCUCAGAAUGUCUACGAGUUUCCAUAUCAAUUAAAAGACACUAUUUUUUUAUAUAAAAAAGAACUGAAUAAUAGAGGAAAAGUUUUUUUUUUUAAAGAUAAAACUAUGAUUUUUUUUUUUGGUACAAAUGUUCUCUAAGAAGUAAAAAAAAAAAAAAGAGCGUAAAGAGAAGGAAAUUAGAUGGAAGACCUUAAAGCAAAGUACAUUUUUGCAGUCAAAACCAGCUGAAAUUCUGUUAAAGAAACCUACUUGCAGUUAUCAAAGCCAACCAAAAGGUCAUACCAAAUACUGAAUUUAUGAAAUCUUUGUCUGCAAAAUCCUUCCCAUGUUUUAACUUGGACAAAAGAAAUAUUCAUAAAAUAUAUAAAAUCUCUGCUGUAGUUUGAAUGACAAAAUGAGAACUACUGGGAUGAAACAAAAAAUUCCCAUUUUUCAGUUACCAAAGGUCUGGCACCAAAUUGUAGACUAAAAACUAGUCGGUAGAGUAUGAAAGGAAUAUGACUAAAUAUAUGCUACAAAAUAGAAGGCCUCUUCUCAUAUCAAAUGAUAUUCAUUAAAGCUUCAAUCACUUAUACAAGAAAACCCCUGAGCUAAACCAAGGAAAACCUAUGGUAUCACACUCACAGUAUGUCAUGUUUUAUACCAGUUAUCAAACUAUGUAUCAAAAUCUCAAUCAUCCAUUUUUCAGGAAUCAAAGACUGAAACAUUUGGUAUAAAACUAUACAGACUCAUUCCGAGAAACUACAAUCUUAUGAAAGGUUCAAAACUAAAUAUAAAGCAGAAGGGAAUGAAGGGCACCACACAAAGCUUUCCACUAUAUAUCACACAAUAAAAUUCAAAAGAGUGAUAUAGUUUCAUCACCAUCAGAACUAUUGAUAUUAUUGAUGUAUUUAUUUUGCAGAAGUAAACCAUAAUCCCAAAUAACAUCAAUAAAACUCUAUCAUAUGAUGUAUUAGAACUAAUGCUUUGGACUCUUGCUAUGUUAAGGUAGAUAGACAUUCAACAAGGUAAUAGAUAGUGAUAAAUACAACCAAAGGAGCACUUAAAUGUUGAAACAACACAUCAGGAGAAAAAAAAAGAGAGAUAAAACAAAACGUACUUAUAAUUGCAGGAGACUCUGCCUUCUUUCCAAAGCGAUGACGCGUGUCAGAGCUCGAACCCGAACCUGAACCGGUGUUCUUCUGAUGCUUCCAGCUUCCCAAGUCCUCAUACUCUCUGAUCACAUCUUUACCAAGACUAUUAUAUACAUCCCUCCAAAAACUCCUUUGUUCCCCAACCUUGGCAAACCUCAAAGCCUCUAACUCUUCUCUUGAGUACAUUAUCUUAUUUUGAGUUUUGCUUUCUGUCUUACCCUUUUGAACUUCAAAAAUUUUGGUUGAUUCCAUAUGUCUCAUAGUGACUGAUUCCCCUAAGACCUCUUUUACAUUCUUUCCCUUUCUUCUUGAUCUUUUACCUUUCUUACCAUCAAUUUCAUGUUCCCCCUUCUUCUUCUUCUCAUCUUUUACACUUCCAUUUCCAGUUCUGGGGAGUGGAAAUGAUCCAAUCAAAGCCGUAUCAUCGAUGACUUCAAUCUUUAAAGAUCCUUUAACAGGCAAGUCAAGACCUUUGGUACCACCAACGCCGUUUCCAUCAUCAAUCUUGGACGAGUUCGUUGCAAAACCAAAGAUGUUUCCAACUUCAAGCUCAGUCAAAAGUCGUUUCUUUUCAGCUUCCAAGACAUUUUCAGAUUCCAAAGCUUUUCCUUUGGCCACCCUUUUCUCCUCAAAUUCCAAACCGGUCCCGAGAUGUUCCUUGUUAUUAGCUUCAAUGGUGUUGACUUGGUUAUCAACUUCUUGAACUCCAAAAGAACCCUCUUUGUUUUCCACAUCAUCCACCUUUUCUUUCUCGAAAAACCCAGAAAGAGAGACAUCCUUUGGAGCGAAAGAAUGAAGACCCAUUUCUUGGUUUUCCUGAGAAAGAAGGGAAAAGCACUUGGGUUUCUUCUUUGGACUGCUAUGAUCCAUAGCUGUUACUUCUUGGCAAUCUUGAAGGCCCGAAUCCCGGUGGUCGGCGGUGGAUUCAUAGAGAGAAGGGGAAAGGUGAGGGGGAAGAGAAGUUUCUUGUUGUUCAGGGCCAGAAGUUGUUCUACGCUUAGAACAAACGUGCGAAUCGGAUUCCAUCGUAUAAUCAGCCAUUACUGAGAAACAGCGAAUGAAGAAACUGUUGGAAAGAGACGCUGGGGUUUUAGGAUGGGACUUGGGAGGGAAAUAUAUAGAGGAGCAACAGAGGUAAUCGAAUUGAAUAAACUGACUGCAUUGGGUUUAUUCGGUUUUCUCUUCAUUCGGCCCAUAAUUUAUACGCAUUUUCUUACUUCAAAAGUAUUUUCCAUUAUGCUUGUGGAUUUUAUUACUCCUUUUUUGUCACUUGAAUUUAGCUCACUGCAUUUUCUUUAAUUGGUAUUAUUUAUGCAUUCUAUCAAUCUUAUAUUAAUUUUAAAUAAUUCAAUAAAUUUAAUUUUUUAUGUUUAUAAAUUUUAUUAACCUUUUUCUCAAUCAUAAAUCAGAAAACAAAUUUUGAAAGAAUAUGCAACUAUGAUUACAGCUUCAUCAUAAUUCUCAUUAGCUAGUGUACUAAUAUCCUACAUCUCCUUUUCAAGGUGUUGGAUGUCCUGCAAUGGAACUUCUACCAAAUCUGAUUUCUCCUAUACUUCUAUCAUUCCCUAAUUAUUCCACGAAAUUUUACGAUAUUCAAUAUAAAGCUACAAUUCCUUACUCAUCUAUUUCAAAACCAUAAUUUUGAUAAAAAUAAAAUUAAAUAAUAAAUAAAAAUUUAAAUUUAAUUGUGUGCAAAUCCAAAAGUAAUUAACCUACAAAAAGUAACAUCAUAAUCAAAGUACAUCUCUUUGGAGGUGAUAAAGGUUAGGCAAAACCGAUUUAAUGAUGUCAUGUUAACAAAUAAAUUAUACUAAAAUUUCAAACAACCUAAUUCUAUGAACUUAUUUAUGCUUUUUCUAUAAUAAAAUUAUGUUUUAGUAACUCAAUUUUUAAAAGUUACGUAAUAGUCAAUAAUACUAUUAAAUUGUUAUGAUCAUAAGUAAUUUCAAAAUAAUAAAAAUUAUUAAAUGAUCUAUUGAGUAAAAGUUAUAGGUUGUUAGCCUACGAAUAAUUACAAUUGAAUUAAUAUAUUGAAAAUAUAACUCCUUUAAUAUAAUAUUUGAUAUUUGAACUUGAUUUUUUUUUUAAUUUGGUACUUAGACUUUUUUUAAUAUUUGAUAUCUAAAUUUGACACUUUUUCUAAUUUGAUAUCUAAAUUUAUUUUUUUUUGUCCAAUUUAAUACAUAAACUUGUCAAACAUUAUACAAAUUACUCCUAUAAACAAACAAUAUUUUGUUUAUGAGACAAUAAAAAUAACCAAUAUAUAACCAAUAUGUCACAAAGGAAAUCGAACUUUUUUUAUAUUUUAAAUAUUCAAUUACUUCUAGUUUAAUUUAUUUUAAUUUUUAAUUUAACAUAACAAAUUUCUUUUAUUUUGGGUUUUUAACACUCUUGUUUUCUUCUUCAACGUCAUCAUUAAGGUUAGCUCAAAGCAUAAUUUUUUAACAUGAAUUUCAUCUUAUACUAAUGAUGUAUUUGUGGAAUUGAGGGCUUUGUGAAGACAAUACCUUGAUUUAAGCAUGCGAUCUCUCUUGAAUCAUUUAUGUAAUCUCAACCCUAAUGAAAAGUAAAAUUCAAGAUAUUGUUUUGCAAAAUAGAGGAAACUUCAAAUAAUAUUAACAAUUUUUGCCAUUAAAUUCCAUGUAAUCCGUCACAUGUUGAUAAUACAUUAGAUAUAUUUGACAAGUUCAGGUAUCAAAUGUUAUAUUAAGGUAAUAAAAAACAAUCUUCACGAAACAAUUAAAUUUAAAAAUAUCAUAUUAGGGUAAACCACGCCACUAGUCACCUAACUAUUAGAGUAUUUUUGUUUUGAUAAUCAAAACUACAAUUUUUAUUCCAUUACUAACAUUUAAAUUCAAAUGCUGGAACGAACGAAAACAAGUAAGAAAAGUUGGACUGGAUUGAAGCUGUUCGUAAGGAUCUAGAAUAACAAACAUAAACAUAUUAGAAAUCAAAGGAAAAUUUGAAGGGUUAGAAUUAUUUAGAAUUAAGACAAAGUUAAUAGAAUUUAUAAGUGCUAAGGAUUAAAUAUGUUAUUAUACUGAUGCAAAUUAAAUGACAUAUCAUCAUUUUCAUUAAUAUUUAUUAACAUUUUAACUUAAGGUAACCCAAACAGAAUCAAUUAAAGACAUUAGAGAUAAAAUUUAAAGUUUUUAUAAUUUAAGGACCAAAAUUCUAACACGCUAAUAGUUAAAGUAAAUGAUAAUUUAAUUUACCCAUUAUAUUAUAUUUAACAUCAGAAACUUUUUUUUUCUGAAGACACUGCAUAUUUUUUAAUUUGAUUUAAUAAAUAUUACUUUGAAAAUAAAAAAAAAAUACUAAAAGAUAAUUACAAUUUAAAAAAGAAACAAGUUCUCAAUUUAAAUUAUAAAAUAGAAGAUCAUUUUUCAUGAAAAUUAUUUACGAUUAAGAUGACGAGAAAUAAAAAUAAUAUAAUUUAAUUAGUGAAGAAGUAAUCACUGGUCCAGAAUAGAGCUAGACUUUGGUUUACUUCAUUGUGCUGGGAAAUAAACCGGACUGCAAUAAUAAUAAUAAUAAUAAUAAUAAUAAUUAUUUGUUAACAUUUCUAUGUACCACAAGACCCAAUCCCUUGCUUAAUUGCACAACUCAAAAGGACAUCGGCAGCCGGUGACCAAAACCGGCGAAGGAGAGAUCAUAUCAUAUAUCAGGUGAUGUUAAACAAUCCAACCCAACCCUAUACAUGGUUGUCGUAUAUGACCAAAAACAAACAAACAAACAAAAAAGAAAAAAAGGCAGAAAGAAGUAAAUACAUAUAAUAUGUUGAAUACAUAUGGAAUUUGUAGUCAGAAUGGAAAUGAACUGUGCAUAAGUUGCAGAGAUUUCAAUCCAAGGUGAAGGACUGCAUUUAUCUGUUUUUAUGUCUCUGAUGCCGCUGCUGAAGCUUGUCCCUUUGCCAGAGUUUGGAGAGCCUUAACGACGAUGCCCAUGUUUGGACGGAACUCGGAUUCAUACUGCACACACAAUGCUGCCACAGCUGCCAGCUGCAUCAACAGAAAAAUAUAUGUAAUGGAAAUCGCCGAGUGCUAGUUUGGUUUGCAUGUACAUGUCUUAGAGAAUUUGAAAACUGAAAACCGACCCCCAUCCCUAAGUUACAAAUUUAUACUUGGGCGUUAAAAGAUAAAAAAUACCUUAGCAACUCCUUUAGGAGGAUACUCUCCAUUUAGUUUUGGAUCCACACAUUGCUUAACUUUAUCUUCACUAAGUCUCGGAGUAGCCUAAAUGGAGAUACAGAAAACAGAAAUGAAGAGUUAAUCAAAUAUAAAAGGAAACGAAAAGAUCAAGUCCGAGUUUUCAUUUUUUCUGGUACUCAGUAUCCAAUACUUAUGUUUGACACAUUCAAACAUGUGUACAGGGAUAUGACCUGGCAUAGAAGCUUUAGACAAAAAAUAAAAAUAAAGAUAUACCAUAUAGACACAUAACUGUGUCCGACACUAUUCAAGUUCGAGUAACAUGGAAACAACAUGCAAAGGAAACAGAAAUGCACCAUCAAAUUAGACAAAGGGAAGGGAAACGGUGGACCUAAAGCAAUAAGCUCACCCAUGUAACAAGACUCUGCUGUCCGCGAGGCAUUGUAUGGUCAACAGGUUUCCUCCCAGUCAGAAGUUCUAGAAGGACAACCCCAAAACUGUACACAUCACUCUUCUGUGUCAACUGUCCAGUCAUUGCAUAUCUGGAAAAAGUUGCCAUAAAUCAGCUAAAAUUGUAAAUAAAGCUGCAGCUCCUUAGGCAUAGUGAUGCAUUACAAAAAAAAAAAAUGCUGGUUCCCCCUCAAUCUCAAAUCCCUUAGUUUUAGCAACAUGGACAGUGGACUCUACAGACAGGAAACGACCCAUUGGUGCUAGGCUGCGUUUGUAUAUCUAUCAUGAAAGUGGCAGAAAAGGUUGGCAAUUCUUUCCAGUAGCAGCAUCAAUUGGGGGAAAUGCAUCAAUUGGGGGAAAUAGUCAACACCAAUAAGUUAAAUAAAAAAAAAAGUAUAUGAUAAACCCUAGAUGCAAACCAGUUACAAUUAUCUGCAUAUUGACAUUAAACCUAACUAAUCUUAUACAAGAUACCAAAUAAACACACAGCACCAGGGAUGCCAGGCUGGUUCAGAACAAAUAAACAUAAUGUAAAGGAGCUUAGAAAGCAUACUCUGGAGCAUGAUAACCAAAUGUCCCUAAAACUCGAGUAGAAUGAAGACGAGCAGCCAUGUCAGGAGAUUGGUUUGAGAGGUUAAAAUCUGCAAUUUUUGCUUUGAAGUCUUCGAAGAGAAGCACAUUGCUAGAUCUAAUAUCUCUGUGUAUAAUAGCAGGUUGAGCCUUCUCAUGUAAGUAUUCCAAGCCCCUUGCGGCAUCAAUAGCUAUUCUUACCCGCUGCAUCCAGUCAAGCACUGGACCUGCUUGUGCCCCUUGAACCCCCUUCCUUCCUAUAAUCACCGGAAAAGGAAAAAAGAAGAAAAGAAAAACAUCAAGCUAAUGGAGCCUUCUUUGUAUAACAAAACGUUAGUUGGAUAAAUCUAAAUCAGGAACUAAUUUUAGGAUGGCCACACAAACCGUGCAAUAUGUCAUGUAGUGAUCCCAUAGUUGCAAACUCAUAUGCAAGGAUGCGGAGAUUUCUUUCAACACAGUAACCUUGCAACUCAACAACAUUUUCAUUCUUAAAUCUUGAAACCAUGGAAACCUAAACAGAUUAAAUGUGUACGAUUAAAGGUGUUAUGAAACAAGAGGAAAACACAAUAUGACAACAAUCUGAAUCUGCAUUAACGAUAAGAAUAAAGAAAGAAAAAACUUAUUAAAGACCCUUCUUUCGAAUUGCUUACAGACCUGGGUCAAAAACUCCACAGUUGAGUCAGGCUCAGCAGAAGUAUCUAGCUUUUUCACGGCCACAGCUUUUCCAUUGUCCAAAUUUGCAUAAUAAACUCUGCCAUAGGAACCCUCACCAACCAAAGCCUUUGAUCCAAAAUUGUCAGUCUUUUCUUUCAACUCUUCCAGUGAUAGUGCGGGCACUUCAAUAGGUGGUGCUGAUUUAUGCACUUCGGGUUUGACAUCAGCUGCUACCCUUGUGUCUUUUUCCUGCCCUGAAAACAUGUAGCAUGAGAGAUCAGAAAAAAAACUUAGAAUAUCAUCAAAACUGAUGAGAAAUUGAACAAUUAAACAGAAACAAGGAAAAAAGUUCUUCUAAAAAACUAUUGACAGAAUAUCAAAUUUAAGGUACCAGAUUAGAAGAUCGGACAACAUAUCCCAAUAAACUGAGGCAAACUUUUUUUUUUCCCAUUCGAGGAAUACUAAAAAUAAAAUUCAGAAAGAAAGAAAGAUUUGAAGUCUUGGUUGACAUUAGGUCCAAGGUUCGGAUCUAGACAACCUAAUCCCUCUCUCGUUUAAUUAAAAGAGAAACUGAUCAAAAGCAACCAAAAUUAAUCCCUAAUUCUUGAAUAAUGAAGGAAAUAUUGACAAGAAACAUAGAAGCUUCCAUUCUGAAAUGCAAUGAUUAGAAUGCAAGGUAUAUUUCAACCAAAAUAUGACAUUAUGAAACAAAAGAAGAAGGAAAAUCAUGAGAAAAUAGAGAACUUCCUAAUUUCUUUGCAUAAAUCAAGAGUACUUGAACAAAAGUCAAUUGACAAAGACAUACAUACACACAUACAAAGAGUACUCUAUCACAUAUAUUAUAGCAUUUGUAUUUACCAGUUUAAGGUAAACAUCAAAAUAACAUACCGUCUGAUAGAAACACGGGGCUCUUCAAGUGCUCACUUUCAUGUGAUCGAUAAUUCUCGUUUACCUGACGGGUACAACAAAGCCACCGACGCAUCCUUGCUCUUUUCUUCAAAUACAAAUCGUCAGUAUUUUCUAGUUGAGGAGGAGCAUGUACCUGUAUAAUUCCAUAAGACAUUCAUUCAUAAUCCUACAUAUUGUAAAAUUAAGUAAACUAUGAUAAUUAAUUCCACAUGCGGUGCAACCAAAUUUUCCUAAUGCCGGGAUUAAAAACAAGCUUAAAAAUGAUACGACACAUAACAGAGAUUCAACAUUCAUCCAACAAUGCAAGCAGUCAAAACUCCAAUAAUAACAUAUUUAAAAUAGAACAUAGAAAAAGAAAAAGAAAAAGAAAAUGUUGAUAAAUAUGUAGGAAAAUAAUUAAACCACAGCAUUAUCUGAUCAAAAAGCAAUAAAUUUAAUUAAAAGAAGAAGAAGAAACUAAAGUCCAAUUGAAUUAAUUAUAAUUCAUAAAUUAAACGUAAUGAGAUGAAUUUUCGAUAAAAAAUUUAAUACAUAUAAAAUUAAAAGAGAAAAAUUGAGGCUUACCAACAAGCCACGCCAAUUAAACUAGCCUUGGAUUAAAAAGGAAAACAGAGAAUUAAAAGUGAAAAUGCAAAUAAAUAAAAGAUUAAACGACAACCCAGCCUUGAUUCUAAAAUGGGUCCAUGAAAAUUCACGAAAGAAAUCAAAGAAUCAGAAGACCCUCAAAUUCUCAAAACAAAAAAGAAAUACCUGGCUUUUCUCUCAAAUUCCUCUCCUUUUUAUUGCAAAUAAAAAUCUCCUCUCUUUCUCUUUCAAGGGUUGGUUUGUUAUAAAUUCUUUUUUUUUUUUUUUUUGGUUUUUGAAUUUUGUGUUGGAGAGAAAGAGAGAGAAACAAACAGCGAUAGAAUGAAAUUGGAAGAUUUUGAUAUUUGAAGGCUUUUCUUUUUUUCGGUUUUGAAUCUUUUUUAUGGAAGAAAAAAAUGACAGAAAGGCAGCGCGCGAAAUGAUAAAAAUUGAAUGGAACAUCUCUCUUUUUUUAAUUUUAGUUUUUCUUUUGGUUAAACUUUUCCAUUACUCCCUCUACUUGGUCAAGGUUGUGGAUUUAAUCCAUAUGCUUUAAUUUGAUAUUUUUAGUCCCUGUACUUUUUGAAUUUUAAAAUUUCAGUCCUCACCAAGUGGUACUAUUCAAUUCAUUUUGUUAAGUUCUUCUAUUUCCAAAGUCUGAUGUGGGGAACAUAUUAUCGUAUGCACAAUGCUUUGUCAACUUGUUAUUUUCACAUAUUACUCAGUUAAUGGAUUAAUAACGAUCAUGUGUGUUAAGAUUGGAAUUGCAAAAUUCAAUAAGUAAAUAGAGUUAGAAUGAUAUAAUUGAAGAAUAUGGACUAAAUCCAUAACUAUAUGCAUAGUAUAGGAUUAGUAAUUGAAUUUAACCAAACAAAUUUAAUUGCUAUUAUUUGGGUUAGGAAAAAAUUUCAAAAUUCAAAAAGUACAUUAUCAAAAUUAACUAAUUUGAGACUAAAUUUGGUCAAAUUAAAGAAUAAGGACUAAAUGCAUAAUUUUUACAAAGUAUAAAGACUAAUAGCAGAAUUUAACCUUUUUUUUUCUUUUUUAGUUUCUCUCUUUGAUGAUUAAUAAAUAAUUAUAUAUAUAUAUAUAGAGAGAGAGAGAGAGAGAGAUUUGUUAAUGGAAUUUGUUUAGAUUACCCUAUAUAAAAACUUGUACAUUGAAUAAAAGAGUUUGAACCGGAAAUUUUAAGAUUAUGAAGAAAAUUUUAAAAUGUAUUACAAUUAUUAAUCUAAUUAGUGUGACAUUUUUUUUUUGUUAAAAUGAAAAAUUAAAAUAUCUUCAAAUAAUAUAACUUAUUUUAAUUAUAGAAGAACAUUUUCAUAAUUUUUUAAUCGAGUUAGUGACCUGAAUAACCUAUGACACUAACUCAAUUAUGGAUUUUAUUAAUAGUAUAGAUAGUAGUCUAUAGGAUUAACUCAUAUAUUGGUACUUAAAUUAUACUCAAUUACUCCUAAGUAUUUUUUUUCUUUUUUUUUUUUAGAAAUGGUACCUAAACUAUUUUUUUCUAAGUUAGUAUCACCGCUAGUCAAAUCAGCAAGUCUAUUUUUUUUAAUAAGGCUUAACCCAUUAAUUGAUACCUAAACUAUGUCAUUGUUCUCAUUUUGGUACCUAAACAUUUUUUUUUGUCAUAAAUGGUACCUAAACUAUUUUUUUCCCAAGUUGGUACAUUUGUCGUUAGUCAAACCAUUAAGCUUAUUUUUUUUUAAAAGAUAACCAAUUAAAAAUUACCAUGUAGCAAAAAAUUAUAUUAUUUUCUGUAUAUGCCUUUAAAAUAUUAAAAAAUUCAAAAAAAUUAAAAAAAAUAGAGAGGACUAAUUUUUAUUGGUUCUACCGAUUUUUUUAGCUCAGUUUAGCUGAUUUGUUUUGGUUCGUCAGCCAAUGAUUUAACCUUUAUCUUCGAACUAAUUAAAAAAAAUUACCAACUGAUCGAUCCAGUUUGGUUCUAAAAACACUGGUUUUGAUUGAUGAAAGAACUUUUUUGAUCCCAUCAUGUUAAGCAAGUAGGUGGUGAAGUUUGAAAAAAGAAUUAAUCACCAGCGUCUCAAUCUCGAGAGGACCAAUUUCAAACAUUGUUGGCAUUGUCAAAUAUUAUAAAAGAGGAAAAAAUAAAAUAGAAAAAAUAAAGAGAGAAAUAAUGUAAAAUAAAAUAAAAAAGAAUCAAAAAAAUAUUUUUAAAAGUUAUAAUGACAAGACAAUCUAUUAUUGGCUAAUUUUUUUUAAUGGAUAUAAUAUUUUGGUGUAAAAUGGUUAAGGUGCCACUUGUAAUCAAGAAAGAGUUUACGUACCAACUUAGAAAAAAAAUUCUUUAAGUACAAAUUUAUAGGUUAAGGUUUUUUAAAAAAAUAAAUAAAUUUAACGGUUUGAUUAAUGAGUAACCAACUUGAAGAAAAAAAAAGUAAUUUCAAUAUCACGUGUGAUCAAAAAAAAAUUAUCAAGAUGUGAAAAAUAACAUAAUUUAGAUAUCUAUUUGUGAAUUAAGUUUAGUCUAUACUAUGUAUUAAACUCCUAAGGUCCAAGAGCCAAUUGAACAUUAAUUCAACCGGUAAUGAUUAUAAUUAUUUUUUUUACAAAUUAAAUUGUAUUAUUAUAAGAUUUUAUAUAUAUAUAAAAUUACUAAAAAGCUCAUACAUGGUGAAACCUAUAACUAUGUGAUCUUUAUAUUUUUAACUUUUUCAUUUGAACCAAAAUUUCCUUUAAUUUUGUCAAUUGAGUAAUAGCUCGGUUGACGUUGUUAUUAUUGUCAAUGUCACAGGGUUAGAAUUUUAAUCUGCCAAACCGCGCAACCUUAGGCGAUUUCUUUACUUCAAAUCUGCCUAAGUCAGCUUUACUCUCGCAAAAUGAGAAUUUUUGUAGAAUUUCUCUAAGUCAUUGAAACAAAGCGGAAGCAAACUCGAAACGAAAGAGUGAAAACCAAAUGUUUUUAAUUAAAUGUUCUCAAAUACAUUCACAACUAUGAAUGGAAUCAUUACAAAUGAAGUGGGAGGUCUCUAUUUAUAGUUGAGCUCUCCCAAAACUAACGGUACAUAUUGAGUUAGAUCGACGGUCAAGAUUAGAGCCUAUCUACAAUUGAGAAUCCUAAGAGAUUUAAACUAUAAACAAUCUUAUCACUUUAAGAUUUGCACUAUUUACACUGGUAACUUUAGUUUUACUGGAGUAUUUCAUUAGGUUUCUCCAUAUGUUUCAUGAGUCAGGUGAGUUCAAAUAGGAUAAAUUGAACCUUAUUUCAUCAAUUGACCUCCAUGAAACGCUUUUUGCGCAAUCGUCGCAGGUUUUGAUCUAUGAUCCAUAACACUAAAAUAUGGUACAAAAAUAUUAUUUAAAUAAUUAAAUAUGAAAUGACACAGACAAGUUACAAGACCAUAAGAUAAAUUAGAUUAUAGCACAAUUUAAAUGUGAAUGAAAAAUAUUUACGUAAGAAUCAAAUAAGUCUUUGGUUGAAAUGAUAAACUAAAGGUCUAAAAAUUAUAAUGGUCUAAAUGCAAGUCUUACCAUAUGAAUUUUUUUAUUGAUUUUAUAAAAAAAAAAGCAUUCUUAUAAUAAUUCAUUUUGUGAAAUGAAUGACUUUUUAGUAAUUUUAUAAUUGAGUUAAUGACCGAUUCACUUGUGACACUAACUCAAUUAUGGAUUUUUAGUAGGGUUAAUAUAUAUUUUCCCCUUGAACUUGAUUACUUGUAAGUAGUUGGUACUUAAAUAUAUUUUUUUGUACUGAACUUGGAUUUCAUCACACACUUUAGUACCUCUAAAGUAAUGUCAUUAGAAUUUGACAAAGUAGCACUGGUAACCAGUAAUAGGCUAUUUAACCUAACUAACCUAAAAUAAAUAAAUAUUUAUAAAAAUGACCUUGUUUGAAAAACUAUGAUGGAAAUAAUUUGAAAUCUAUAGUGUCGGGCGGUGCUGGCCAUCUCACUGUUGGCACCACCCUCCAUCAUUCCCUAAUCAUGCCUUAAUGAUUGCCCCGUCCAAUAAAAAAUGAUAUUUUUUUUGGUGUCGGCACUAUAAUAGUCGGCACCCAUAUGUACUUUUUUGAAUACCUUAAAAAAUAUAUAUGUAGUUGUUCUACAAUUUAAAAAUAAAAAGGAAAAAACUAAUAUUUUUAUAAAAUAAUUUUUUAUUUUUUUGGUGACAGUGUUGAAGUGACCGAUACCACUUCAAAGUUUAAAAAAAAAUGAUUUUUUGCAUUUUUGGGUGUCGAUGUUGAAGUGGCCAGCACCAGUUCAAAACUUUAAAAAAAUGAUCUUUUGUUUUUUUGGUGUUGGUGUUGAAGUGGCCGGUAUCGGUUCAAAAUAAAAAAAAUGGAUUGAGGAGGAAGAGAGUUGAACUCCGAUUGUAUCAGUUGGCUUGAUAGAGGUUGGUGAUGGAUGAUUGCCUAGUGGAGUGAAGGCAGUGAGAAGAAUAAAGAGAAGUAAAGAAUAAAAAAAGAAAAAGCUAAAAACAAUCUGUAACCAUGAUUGAAGAGAGAAGGAGGAUAGGAAAUAAAAGCUCAAUAAAAAAAGAAAACUGUUACAGAAACCAAAAAAAUAACAUUGGGACUAGAGGUGUGCAUGGGCCGGGCCGGGCCGGGUUCACAAAAAAUUUUAGGCCCGUUUUCUAGGCCUGGACCCGGCCCGGCCCGAAAUAUGGGCCUAACAAUUUGUCCAAGCCCGGCCCCAAAUAAAAUUGUGAAGCCCGAGCCCGGCCCGGCCCAUAUUUAAAAUUUUUAACUUAUUUUAUUAAAUAAAAAAAUUUAAAAUAUAUUAAAUAAUCAAAUACAUUUAAAACAAAUAUUAAAACAAGAAACAAAUAAAAAAUAUAUUAAAACAAUUCUUAAAACAAUACACAAUUUGAAAAAUAUAAUAAAAAUUAAUUAUAUUAAAAUUAAAAUUAAAAUUAAAAUUAAAAUAUAAUUAAAAAUAAAAAAUAUAUAUUUAUUAUAUAAUUCGGGCCGGGCCGAGCCGAGCCGGGCCCGGGCCAAAAAAUUUUACCCGAGCCCGGCCCAUUUUCUAAACGGGUUUCAUUUUUGUGCCCAAACCCAUAUUUCGGGCCUAUAUUUUUACCCAAACUCUCUCAUUUUUCGGGCGGGCCUUCGGGCCGGGUUGGGUAGCCCGGCCCAUGCACACCUCUAAUUGGGACCCUAUUUACUUUAUUAUUUGAAAAGCAAUAAAUAACUUUAAAUAGAUAUAUUUAAUAUAUUUAAACAUAUUUCAUCAGUCCAUGUAAAUAUUAUCUAUUUCAAUAGAAAAUUUUAAAAUUUAUUUGAUUAUAUUUAAUAUAUUUAGGCAUAUAUGUACUCUUGUUUAGAAUUUUAUUUUUAAUUAUUUGAUUAAAUUUUUAAAAAUAUAUUUUAAUUAAUGUUGAAGAUAACUAGAUAUAUUAAUUUUAAAAAACUCUAAAAAAAACUAUAUAACAUCAUUUUUAACGAUAUUAUCUCAAUUUCUUGAUUUUUAAAAUAUAUUUCCCUAUUUUUACUUUCAAUUUUUGUUAUGUUUUAUGGAAACUAAUAUAUAUUUUUAGUUUGCGUAUAUUCUCGGUACCUUGUAUUUACUUUCACUUUCAUUUUCUUUUGUUACUGUAGGCAUUAAUAUAAAAAUGACUAAAUUUAUUAACUUUUUAACUUUUAAUUUUUUUACUAAUAAUAUUUUUAUUUGUGUUUGAGUAAUAUUUUUAUAUUUUUUUAAUCUCAAAGGUACAUACAUUCAAUGAUUUUUUUAAAUUUGACUAUUAAAUUAAAAAUAUUUCUUUUUCUUUAUUGAUUUGUCUUAAAUAAUUGUUAAUUAAUUAUUAUUGUAUUUAAGGCAGCUUUCACUAUUUUUUUUUCUUUUAUUGAUUUAUCAUUAAUAACUAUUCCUCAAUAAUGGUUACAGAUGAGUUUUGGUUUCUUUUUUAUUUUUUAUUUUUCAUUCUUUACUUCUCUUCUUUCUUCUCAAUUUGCCCUAGCCAACUCCUUCACUCCACUAUGCAGUCAGUCAUUGUUGACAUCUUUCGAGCUAAUUGACACAAUCGAAGUGUAGCUCUCUUCCUCCUCAAUCAUUUUUUUUAACUGGUGCCGACCACUUCAAUACGACACCUAUUAAAAUACUAUUUUUAUCUUUUUCUUUUUAAAUCGUAGAAUACCCAUAUUUUUUGAAGGUAUUUCAAAUAUCAUUUUUAUUGUACAGGGAAAUUAUUAUGGCAUGAUUAGGGAAUGAUGGAGGGUGGUGAUGAGAUAGUCGGCACUGCUUGACACUGUAGAUUUUAAGUCAUUUUUAUCAUAGUUUUUCAAACAAAAUCAUUUUUAUAAAUAUAUAUAUAUAUAUAUUAGGUUAAUUAAGUAAACAAUCUCACAUCAUAACACAUUGAAAGUCCUAGUAAAAAUAUAUUUUUUAAAAUAUAUAAACUUAUAAAUUUAUAAAAAAAAUAUAAAAUUUAUUUUAAGUUGAGAAUGAACAUGGACAAUUAAUUGCGUGCAUUCAUUCUAAACUUUUUUUAAGAAAUUUUUUUUAUAUAAAAUAUUAGAUUUUUAUAUUAUCACUUUAAAAUUAAAAAAAUUUAAAAUUUAAAAAAUAUAUAAAUUUAUUAAAAUUAUUUCAUAUAAAAAAAGAACUAAGACAAAUGGUUGUCUAGAAGUAGAUUAACUUGGACAUCAAUUUAUUCAUAUUCAAUCUGAAAGUGCUUGUUUUAAUAAUUUUAUUUAUUUAUAAUAAAAAUCUGGUUUUAUAUUAUUAUUUUUAAUUAAAAAUAUGUAAACUAUAUAAUCUAUUUUUUUUUAAAAUAAGGUAAAUUAUACAAAUCGUCAACUAAUUAUUGGCACGUUUCUAUUUUGAUCAUUUAACUAUAAGAAAAUCAAGUUAGGCACUAAUGUUUACUAUUCUUUUUUUUUGGUUAUUCACCGCUAAAAUGGCAACAAAAAUAAUGAUGUGGCCUUUUUUAAACUGGUAUAAUAACAAAUUAAGUUUUUAAUACUUAUACAUCCUAUCAAUUUAAUUCUAAUUAUAAAUAAUUCAAAAAAUGUAACCCUCUGAUUUACAAAUUCUAUCAAAUUUAUCCUUAAACACAUAUAAUUAUCAUAAAAAUAAAUAUAAUUAAUAUAUAUUUUGAAAAUGUAUAAAAUAAAAUAUUAUAUAAUAUUUAUUGAAACUCAUAUAUGGCAAACCCAUGACAUCAUUUUACAGAAUAUUGAUUUAUUAUAAUUUAAUUAUGUUUAAAUAAAGUUAUUAGAAUUUAUUUUAUUGUUUUUAUUUUGUUUAAUGAUAAUGUAUCGUAUUAUUAUUUAUUAAUGGUAUAUGAAAUUUAUGUAUUUAUUUGAAUGAGAGUAUAAUAUGAAGUUUGAAAAGGAAGAUUCAAAAGGUUUCCUACUCCAUCAAGAAUCUCCUCAACCAGAUGUUCCAUUUUGAGUAUCCUACCAACAUAUAGAACAAAUGUUUUGUGCCAACGGAUGUCCCAUCAUCAAUGAGACUUUGAACUAAUGGCUUGUAAGCCAGAUGAUUUGCAAUACUGCUCCACCACAUCCAAUGAUGAAUGAAAAAUUGAAGGGAUAGAAAAUUAAAAAGAUGAGUCGUUUGGUAAAAAGGAUAGAAAAAUGAAAAGAAAAAAAGAAAAAUUGAAUGAAAAUUUCUUAUUUUCUCUCUUCUCAUCAUUUCAAUUUAAAAGGAUUGAUAUUUAUGCAUCAAGAUGAAAAAUGAUAAUCUCUAUUUUUUUUUCCUUUCAUUUCAUUUUUCUUUUCAAUCAAACACACUCAAAAUUUAUUUUAUUUCCAUUUUUUCUUUCUAACUUUUUCAUCUAAUCAAAUACACUGUAUAGAAAACUAAAAUUUAGGGUAAGAAUAGAAGGAUAGAAUAGUACCCAACAUUUCAAAGCUAUAAGGCAAUGAAGAUUGACAUUUACAACUGUUAAAAUUUAACAUCAAUUAUAACACAUUGCACUUUGUUAUUUAAAAAACUGCAUUUUCUAGAUAAAAGUGUCUUCUUCCUAUCAAGCCUUUGUUUUAGCCGUUAUUUAUUUUCCCAGGAAACGUCAAGAAAAGUUGAACUCUUUUAAACUUAGAACCAAAAUCAAUCAUGGUCUAUAAUACCAAGCUUACAAAGUGAAAGAUUCAUAACUGCCUCCAUCUAUUAUACAAUAUAUAAUAAUUUUGUAUUUUGUACUUUUUCAAAUUAUAUAGUAAUUAUAUGUGUUUAAGAAUAAAUUCGAUAGGAUUUGUAAAUUGUUAAAUUUAUUGAAUUAUUUAGAAUUAGGAUUAAAUUGAUAGAAUAAGUAAGUAUUGAAGACUUAUAGGUUAUCAUACCAGUUAAAAAAUAUCCCGUCAUUAUUUUCAUUAUCAUUUUAACGGUAACUAACCAAAACAGAAAUAUGUUCAUAGUUGAGUAAACAUUUUUAUAGUUUACCCUUAAAAUUAUAUAUAAAAAUUAUUUCACUUCGAGAAUAAAUAUGAACAAACGAACGCCCAAAUUCAUUCUUGAGAAUUAAUUAUAUAUAUUUAUAAAUUUAUAAUAUUAUAAUUUUUUAUUAGGGUUUGCCUCGUGUCAUGAUAUGAAGCUAUUACAUAUCAUUGUAUAAUUGGUUGCCAAUGUCACAUCAUCAAAUUCUAAUCAUGGUACUAUAAAGAUACUAUAGAGAUUAUUGCAUGGGAAUGUAGCACAUUUCAUGACUACUUGUUUACUUCUUUGAAGAGCACUUACAACAAGAAAAUUAAUCAUUGCUACCAAGAGUGAACACUCUGAUUUUAAAAAAAGAAAAAGACACCUUAUAUUAAAAAAAAAUAUUUUAGUAAACAUUUACUUGGUGAUGCAAAAAAAAAAAUAGUUUGCUAGAGUCAUGUUUAGAAGAAUUCUAUACUUCAAAUUUAUUUAGUGGUACUUUUUUUUUGGGUAACAUUGGCGUUCAUAUGAUAGUGGAAUUUUUAUACAUAUUUUGAUUUUUUAAAAUUAUUUUGAAAUAGUUUAUAAUUUUUAUGAGAGAAGUCAGUUUUUUUAUUUUUAAAAUUGGCAAAAAUUUAAGAGGCCUUUAUAUUAAUUUAUUAUUUGAGUAAUUAAAAUUAUUUAAGUUAUAAAAUUUAACUGGACUUGAAUUCAAAAAAUCUAAUUAUUUAUUGAAGUUGAUUCAAAAAAUUUAGUAGCUCGAUUCAAUUAACUUGAGAUUUAGGCUUUUUUCGAUUCUUUUAAUCGAUCUGAGUUCUGCUCAAUACUUUCAAAACCGAAUUAAUGAUUGAAUCGGUUAGGCCGCCACUUGGCUAGUUCAACCAAUUCAACUAGUUCAAUCAAUUCAAUAAAAAAUUAUUAAAAAUAAAAAAUAAUAGAAAAACCCAAUUCAAUCGGCAUAUUGAUUCCCAAUUUAAUCGAUUCAAUGCUAUUCUUCAAACUGAUACCUCAAUUAAUUUUUAGUACAGAAGCAUCAUUGUUUUGCUCACUCCAAUUCCAAAAUUUGGUCCUUUAUAGAAAAAAUAUAUAUAAAAACUAUUUAAGAUCCAACCACCCAUUUUUUAUUCACAAUUGAGUUUCUUAUUCCAUGAUCAAGAAACCUAGGUCCAAAGAAACUUGUUUGUCUUUAAUAUAACAACUGACGCUUCACUAAGUUUUGACAACUUCUUACUACAAAUUCACAAGAAAUAACAAAAAACCAACAUUGUCUUUACUUGACAUUUCUGUCUAUGAUGUAGCAAAAAAAACAAACAUAUCUGUUUAUGAAACUUGUAUACACAAGUACCUUUCAAAGCAUUGUCACUAAAAGGAGAGCACAUGUAUUUACAAAACUGACAUGAUGCAUGCAUGUACGGGAUCGAUACCCGCCUUAAGCAGAAACCGGGGUUCGUUCUAUCGAAUUUUUUGUCUGAUAUUGUUCCUUGAAACCCAACAUCUUAUUUAAUGCACCAAUAUAAGCCUUGACACUGGAAACAACGAUAUCCAUUCCUGCCCCAUUUCCACUAGCACAAAAAGGAGAUCAAUUUUAUGCACUGAAUUUCAGAGGUGGAAGUGGAAGAAGUACACAUGUCAAAUGGAAACAAGAAUAUGAAGAAAACAUACCUGAAUGUUCGCUGAACAAUUUCACCGGUCAAAAUAUUAGUUGAUAUGCGGCUUUUCUCAGCACGAAUUAGAACGCGGGUGGUGGCUAUAGCAUCAAUGCCUUCUGUAACGGCAUUCAUGGAGUACUCAAGAAGUGUAACUGGUUCCUGCAAAAUGAAGGAAAAAAAGCUUUAAGUACUACCAAAAAAUAUCAGCAAAAAAAGAAGAAAGAAGCACUCAAACACCGAGAAGGGUUGGGAAGAUGGAGUGCAUGGUGGAAACCCAGAAAAACAAAGGGCAGAAUUAUUAACUAUUGUCCUCAACUUGAAUCCCUCCUUAGAUAAUAAAUGCCACAGAACACCAUUAUGGAUAGGGGAAACCAUUCACCAAAGAAUACUCAGAAUGGUACCAAAGAGCCUGCAGCCUGAGAUUAUGGAUGUUGGAAUUCGAAUUCCAGAUCUCCUGGAUGCCAUUCCUUACUAGUGGCUGUACGAACCAAUUGAAAUAAACUUCAAGUUCAAAUAAUAUUUUCACACAAGGCGGAAAGGGGAACGGCGUACAAAGAAAACAGAAGAUAGUCAAUUAGGAAACUUUAAAUUCUAACAGAAAUUUUAUUGACUAUAGGUUACAACCUAUAAGUCCUAGUGAUGAACCACAGGUUUCUACUAGCAGGUAAGGAGCUUUUAUUUUUAUGGCAAGCACGACAAGAUAAGUUUGGAUAAAACAUGUCUACUGACCGACUAAUCAAAUAAAUACAAGCCAUAUUCUCAGCUACUAAAUUCAGGUAACACGACACAAUGUUGCUCCGGCUCUUCAUUUUUGUUGAACCAUCUGUAUGUGGCACAUUUUUGGACGUAUAUAUGAGUACAUGACCUUCUAAAGAUCGCACAAAUAUAGAAAAAGUUGAACAUACACGUACCUGUAUCCAACACUCGCACACAAGAGCUUGAGUAACAUAGGCACAUGAAGAGAAGAAGGGAGUGAAUGAAAAGGAAAGGAAGUUCACUAAAUGAUGAAUAGACCACACUGAGGUUCAAUAUUCGAAACUGAAAAUUAUGAACUAAAUGGCUCCAUAGUUGGAGCCAAUGAAACCCUAUAAAGAAAAAAUAAAUCCCAAAAGGACAUUCAUGAUAAUAAAAUCAAGAACUCACAGACAAUUUCUUAAUAACCCUACCACUGAAUCGUGCAUCAUAUUUUAUCCCAUACCCAACAGAAAAUUCUAGAAAACAAAGGAAAACUUCUAAUCUUCAGUAUCAAACCUUUGUAAUGAGAUCAAUAGCUUUAUAAGCUGAAUCUACUGGCCCAGUUCCAACUGAGCAUGCAACAUGUUCCUCGCCAUCAGCACCAAUGAGUUUAACUGUGGCAGUAGAAAGACCAAGAGUUCCACAAGUAACCUGCAUUUAAUGUUUUCCAUUAAAAAUUAAGUUCACAUAAGAUGAUGGGACUGCUGCUAUACAAGAACUGAAAUCCAAAUUGUAUAUCACAGAUCAUGGCUAUUUUACAUCCUGGAUCACUUUGGUGCAAAUGUGGAUCACCAAAACCAUGGACCUAAAUUGAUAGGUGAAAUAGGAAGAAAGAAAAAGAGGAUCUGAUAGGAAAAGAAUGUGACCAAUCAAAAAUAAAAAGAAAACAGAAGAAUCUGGAAACUUCUAACAUGGGGUGCGAACAGUGAGGCAGAACAGCUGGAGGUUAAGAGAACAUGAAUUAAAGCCAUUAUUUUGAAUUUUGAAUUGUUAUUGGGGCUUCAUGAAGUUCAUAAAUUUUUUAUCGGGGUUUAAUCAAGCUUAUAAAUUGCGGAGCUUUAUUCUCGAUUUUUCACUGGUAAGUAAAUAAACACGUCGUUUAGGGAAUGAGGAAAAAUUACUACAAAAUAUACCAUAAUUUUUCUCUCAUUAGAGGAAAAUUAAAUAAACUGAAAGCAACCAAUCUAAAUAUAAUGCAUUUUCUUAUAAUCAUGUCUAUUACCGACUAUAAACUACAUAUACACUUAUCUCUAUAUUAUUCAAAUUAAACCAAAAGCAAAAAAUAUAUAGAGUUUAAAGUAAUACAACCCCAAAAAUGCUUCAUAUAAUAUUGCAAUCCAAAUAGAAUUAGAGAAGCGUACGCCCACUGUACCAUGAAAAACCUUUUGGACAUCCAUGUCACAUUCCUGUUACUAUGGUUCAACUAUCUCUAGUUACCUGCAGAUCAUGAAGCUUCCAAACAACUUCAGGUUGAAAAACUUCAUCCGAAACCAAGGCUAUUAGAUCAGCAUCAAUGACUCUCUGGAACACCAGUAAAUAAAACAUGUAUAGAACAACAGUUAGUGUUGCCUUUUAAGAUCAAAAUAUAGCAAAGAAGAACGCACUCCAGCUAAAAUAAACAAAACUUCCAAACAACAGAAAUCAUGCAUUUUUAGCAUCGCUUUAGAACAACAGUUAGUGUUGCCUUUUAAGAUCAAAAUAUAGUACAAAAGAAUAUAACUCAGCUAAAACAAACUGACUAAAAAUGCCAUAACCAACAAAAUUUGAUACAAGCAUUCAUAACCAACAAAGACUGUUACUUUCCACUACCUUUUCAUAAUCACUAUAUGAUCUUGAAAAUAUAUUUUCAAUUAUGUGAAUCACAAAUCCACCUACAUCAGUCACUAACUAUUUGCUAAGCCAUCCCUGAUAACAAGAAUCCUUAAACCAGGGAUACCCAGAAAAUCUUGCAACAAAUCACCUGCCAGCAACCCCUAUGUCGUCAUUCUCUAAGCCCACAGACAAUUUCUCAAACCAACAUCAUAUCUUUAACCAUUAAAUUAAAAGGUUAACCAUGUAAUAAUUCCAUGAUCAAUUGAGAAAGAUUGGUGUUUAUUGAGUUAAAAUUACAUUCAACAACGAAAAUGGAGCUUAUGACUGCCCCAGCAUAUAGUAAACAAGAAAAAGAAAAAAUACAUUUAACAAUAAAAGCAUUAUCUAUUUCCUGUCUCAGUAUUGUAUCCCAAUCGUUUUUUCAUUCCAUACAGAUAAGUAGUUUAGUUGCUGAGACUAGAAAACCAGUUUUUCAAAAUUACUGAAAAGGUAUGGAGAACUAGAAAAACAGUCAAAAGGUAAAAUCCAUUACUCUAUUGUUGUUAUGCCAAGGGAAAUUUUUAUACAGACUUGUUCUCUAUGUACAACCUCUCCUCAAUUUUCAUUUUCUUAGAAAUUAUCAUUGGAAAGGAGAAUUCCACAGUUGAAGACAUCUCAUUUUUAAAACACAAUUCAUUCAGUUUGGAAUGUUAUAAAUAGUUGCCUGAAUGAUGAGAUUACAGGAAAAGAAAUCCGGGAAAUCAGUAGAGAAUUUUGGUCACCUUCUUUUGUUCAGCUACUGCUUUGAAGCGCCAGAAUAUGUUGCCCAGCUGUUCAUCGUCAAGCUCAUAACCAAGCUGAGAUAAACAACAAGAACUAGGUGCUUAGAUGAAGAAAAGAGAGGUAAUUACAUGUAACAUGCUAAAUAGCACCAUACCUCUUUCAAUCGGUCUUUUAAAGCAUGCCGUCCACUUUACCAUAUAUUUGCAGAAUAAAAAGAAUUAAGAGAGAAAUCAUGAGUUUUGUAACAAAUGAAAUCGUAAAAAAAAAAAAAGAAAAGAAUAGGAAGAUACCAACAACAUGAAUGUCAUAAAUAUAACAACAGAACUGCAUAAAUUAAAGUAGUAGCAAAAUAUUGGAAGAUGGAAUCAAUCUCGCAAAAGAAACUGACAACUCUUUUUUGGUCGGGAGAGAAAGAAGUCUGUAUUUGACACACAGAAACUUAGCAGAAAUCUAACAAAUGGAGUGACCCUUUAUGCUUCAAAAAUCAAAUAUUUUUUAUAACUUGCCCAGCUAUUCAAGAAUAUUAGGUAAAGUUCAAUAUAUUUAUCCAAUAUACUAAUAAGAUACAACCUAUUGUACCAGGCCGAAAUACUUCUUCUGCCUAGCAACUCAGGUGAUAUUAAUAACCUCAUUUGACUAACUUAAUAAAUGUGAAUGAUCACUUUUUUUUCAUAUGAACAAGAAAAAAGCCAAGGAAAAAACCUAUUAAAAGAUCACCCCAACUACUGUAGGGAUUCCACUAUCCUCAAAUAAAGUUGAAAAUAUACUUAUCAAGAUUGGUAUAAGAUAUAUUCAAAAAAAUAUGUAAAUAUGUUAAGUCCUCAACCAUUUCUGUCAGAUUUGUUGUGACAUCACAUCCAACAUUGAAAAUCAACUCCUAAACCACAUAUAGAAUGUUCUGCUCUAAAAAUAUCACUAUGAUCCAUCUACAUCGCUUUAAACACUAUUUAAAACAUAUCAAACGGAAAUAUAUAUAUAUAUUACCACAAAAAUGGAGGAAAAAUUUUGAAAGAUGAAAUACCCACCUAAGUUUUCCUAGGACAAUACCAGCUUCAUUAGACCGUUCAAGCCCAAUAUCUUCAGGCGAAAUAAUUUCAUAAGUACCUUUGUGCUUAAGCAUUCCAUCCUAUAGAACAGAAAGCAAAUAUGGAUUAUAUUUCUUAUUGCUUUUAACUUUUAGUAAGCAUACAUAUUUAGAUUCUUGUAACCAACACAAUUAGUUUGGAAUUAAAAGUGAGUUUGAUGGAGUUGGGUCUUAAUUACACCAUCAAUAAUUGUCAACAAUUUCACUGAGCAAGCCUGAUUUGUAGAAGAAAUCACCAUUGUAGCUAAACGUAUCAAAAGUGUUAUCGACUAAUACUGUAAAUAUUCACUUAAGAGGAGAAAUGAAGAAAACACAAAGAAAACAGAAGGGAAACCAGUAAAACACAUUCAAGCAAACUUAAAAAGCACAUUAGUAAUCCUCGUAAAAAAAAGUUAGCUAGGAGAAAGUGUUACGUUCCUACCACAUCAAUUGGUGGUCCAUCAAAUUAUGGUGAGGGCAGCAUUUGAAAUUGCCAUGUUAGCAUAAAUGGAUACUACUUUCUAAGGAUAACCUUGACUAGAAUAAUAAAAUUGUGGUCCCAUUUAUGCUAUCAUCGCAUUUUUUUAAGACUUGCAGUCAGAAUUAUGCUAGAAAAUACUUGUGUAUUACUAUCUCUUGUCAUCAUUGUUUCACUCACGCAACGAUAACAUGAGAUUAAUGCUCCACAGUCAACAACAUCCUCAUAUUUGCAUAUAUGCAUAUACAUAUACACAAGCAUAACUGGAGAAAAAGCAACACAAGAAAGGAAUUGACAGAUCAAAUAAAAAUGCUAAUAAAGGGCCAAACAAUGGAAAGAUUACAGAAUCUAGCCACCCACCUGCAACUUCAAACACGUAUAGAUAUCAUUACACAUGCAUGACUUAAUAUUAUCAUCUAAAAUUAGCAACUUAAUUUCUAAGCACUCUGGCUGAACAAGGGCUUUGGUAAACAGCAUCAAACUCCAAUCUUGUAAGAAUGGUCCUCAAAGAGUUCUAUAUUUAAUCCUCAGUUUGCCCCACUAAAUUCUGCCCAAACAAUAAAUAGACUACAAGCUCAAACAUGCUCCUCAGCUAACAUUGUUUCCCCAGAGCAAGAGAUAGCUACUAGCGAGCUACACCCUCAAGCAUUUUAAAUAAUAAUAAAAGAAAAGAUGUACAGAUUCCAUUAUUAAUUUCUACCAUGCAUCUAAACUUCAUGCAAACUCUUAAUGGAAGGCAAAAGAGAAUAUAACUUUAGUUUUCUUAAGAUUAAACAACAAAGCUGUAUCCACAGUAGCAAAAUUUACAGAUGGACAAAAUCACAACACAUGUUAGUGCAUUCUAUUAAGUGCAUUAUAUUAAUUUUCAACUACAAUGGUAAAUACAAUUCCAAAAAUUAAUCAAUGAGAUCAGCCAUAAAGAAAGCUUCACCAAUUAACAGAAAACAUUCAGAGGUUCAGUGGUUCACAACAUAUAUGCAAUCAAAUGUUGGAAAAACCAACCUGGUGGAUACCACUUUCAUGAGCAAAAGCAUUCGCUCCGACAAUAGCCUUAUGAGGUUGUAUGUGUAACCCCGUGUAGUCCUCUACCUAAAAAACCAUAUUAAGUCAACAAUAACUCCCAGAGCUAAUUCAAUCAAAAGUAAGGCCAACUAAUUGAAGCAAAGUUCACAAAAGAAUACCAUUUUGCUUGACAUCACAAUGUGUUGAGUAUUGAUUCCAGUAUAAAGACCUCCUAAUACAUGCUCACCACGACAUUUUAUUGCCAUCACAACCUGCAUAAACAAAAGUAGCAGCCCAACGGAAUCAAAACAGUAAAACAAGACAUAGGUAAUCUUACAAUUUACAAAAUCUGUCCAACUAGGGAAAAACCUUCAACAAUUGCAACCAAAAUAAUUUUUCUUAAGUCGCCACAACACAAGAAUAAAGAAAUUGACAGCUAAAAGACUUUUAUUUACAAAAUUUAAAUGCUUAACAUAGGCAGACUGCAAAACUAGAAAGACAAAAGUUAUCAGAUGGAUGCAUAAGCACCCUCAUUGUCAAGACCCCGUUCCCCCUCUCUAUCUCUGCAAACAAAAAAUGAAGUGGAUUAAUGUAAAAUAAUUUUCAUAUCUCAUAUAUAGAAGCACAUGAUCACGCAAUGAGCCCUUGUCAAUUGAAUUUCAGUGCAAUGUGUCUCCAUCUAAAGCAGAUUUGAUUGACAACAGGAGGUCUUAGGUUGUACAGACUCAAGAUCAUGAAUUAUUCACCUUAAAUGUCCAAGAACAUCAUACUGUGCUAAAGAAAACCAGGCUUUUUCCCAUCUACUUCUGCGUAACUGAAAUCCCAAAUUCACAAUCAUUAUAAUAUUGCAUAAAGCAAAAGCUCACCUCCUCCAAUGAAGCAUUUCCAGCUCUCUCUCCAAUGCCAUUGAUUGUUACUUCCACCUGCCUUGCACCUGCACAAGCUCCCUGAAUUCAUGCAGCAAAGAUGUAAAUACUGCCCAAGUAUACCUCACUGUGGAUUAAUUAACAAAGUAAACCAGCACUAUACCGCUAGUGUGUUGGCAGUAGAAAGCCCAAGAUCGUUUUGGCAGUGUGUUGAAAUAAUAACAUUCUCAAUUCCAGGGGUAUUGGCCUUUAUAUCAGCAAUUAAUUGGCCAAACUCGCUAGGCAUAGUUAUGCCGACAGUAUCAGGUAUGUUGAGAGUUGUCGCUCCAGCCUUGAUCACUUCACCCAAAAUCUCAUAUAAAAACUCUCUGUCAGAUCUGGUUGGAUCCAAUGGAACAACAAUAUCAUGUAAGCAAGAGGGAAAAAAAUCUACCCUUUUUCAUUUAUUUAUUUCAAUAGUAGCAUAUAGGAGAUGCAUACACUGAUACUACUGCAAAAUGCCUCUGGCAAUCUUAAACACAACUCGAUUACACAAAGCAGAAAAAGGAAAAAAAAAAACACAAGACAACAUUAAUAGAAGAAUGUCUUAGAAUCUAGAUAGUACAAAUUAUUAACAUAUCAAAAUUUAUAUAAAUAUAAAAUACCAUAAUUACCAGACAAAAUAUACAAGCACAAUACAAAUACAUAAAUGGUCAGUUCUACAAAACAAACUUUUUUUAACGCCCAUUUCUACAAUAACAUGCAUGCUCCCCUAUUGCAGCGAUUUUUAUGACCAAGCACAUAUCUUUCACCAAAAAAAAAAAUGGCUUCAAUUCAAUACAGAAAAGAAAUAUACAUAAAUUAAACAAUAGAUUAUCUUUAUCCGUAUUUAAACUUCUACUGCUUAUUUUGAUUUUAAAAUUUAAUCUUCCUCUUUCUGUUAUUUCAUUUGUCCAAUAAAAAUAUAGAGAACAAUGGAAUAUAAUCUUAUCCUUGAACAACCAUUUCACGAACAUAUCAUAGGAAGAAAAAGAGAGAGAGAGAUAAAAACUAGAACCUGCCGGCGUCUUCGGGGCUAAACUCGACAUCAUUACAACCCAAACUCCUUGCAAACCGAACCAUACUUCUAGCGAUAUCCAAAACCUCCUCUUUACUCUUCCUUAACUUAUACUCCAAAUGGAUGCCACUGGUAGCGAUAAACGUAUGAAUCCUGGGCCGUUUGGCGUACUUAACCGCCUCCCAAGCGGCCUUAAUAUCGUUCUCAUUACACCUAGAGAGUCCACAAACGACAGGCACAUACCCAUUCUCAUCCUCCGCAUUUCCAACCUCUUUAGCAAUGGCCGUAACAGCUUCAAAAUCGUCCUUGGAAGCAGCGGGAAACCCAGCUUCUAUUAUAUCGACGCCAAGCUUGGCUAGCUGACGAGCAAUAUCAAGCUUCUCCUUGGAAGUCAAGGUGGCGCCAGGAGAUUGUUCGCCAUCGCGGAGAGUGGUGUCGAAGAUGCGCACGUAGUUGGGGUCUGGAAUAUGGUUGGGAAUGUAAAGAGGACGGCGGAGGGGAGUGGGGGGAGUAGGGGCUAAAGAAGAAGAAAUGAGAAGAGACUUGGCCUUGGGUAAUGAUUUGGAAGGAAAAGAAGGGAAAUGGGGUGGGUUGGAAGAAGGGAAGUGGAGGGAAGUGGGAGAAGGAAGGAAAAGGGAGGAUUUGGGAGAUGGAAAAUGAAAGGGAGAGAACUUGGAGGAAAUUAAGAUGGAGGAAGCCAUGGAAGGAGAGAAGGUACAGAGAAUUACAGAGGAAGAGGAAGAGUUUGGGUUUAUAUGGACAGUGUGUUGGUUGUGAAUUUGUCUUUCCUCAGUUUGGUUGGGAGGGAAAUGAGAGUGGAGGCGCCGUCAGCACCGAGGGUGAUAAGAGAUAGAGCAGAAUUUUUCUUUUGAACAAGAUAGAGAGAGUCUUAAAAAGGAUCAAAAAUUUGUUAAGCCUGGGACCCACUCUUUCCAUAACAAGCCAAUUCCAAAUUCAAGGUUUUUCUCUUUAUUAAGUGAAUAAUUUAAUCAAUUAUAAAGGUUCAUUAUGACUGGGUUUUUAAGGUGAUGAAUACAGAUGUCUUUUGCCCGCCAGCCGCCUCUAUCUUUAUUAUUUUAUUAAAAUUUAAAAUUUAUUGUUUUUUUAUUAUUUUUUAAAUACUAAAUCUUCAUUUUAAACUUUUUUAAUAAUAUAUUCAUUCAUUUAAUAAUAAUAUAAUAAUAACCCUUCCAAAUUAUCAUUUCAAUUUCAAGUCAUUUAUUAAGAAAAAAUAACGGUGUUAGUGUCUCGUAAAAUUUCUUUUUAUUGACGUGCCUAAAACUACGUAGUUUUAGAGAUUAAAAUUUUUACACCUAAUACAUUAGAUGAAAUUAAAAAAUAAAAACCUUCAAGUUCAAUUAAAAAUAUUAAAAAAAUCAACUUAAAUUAUAAUCUAACCACAAUUUCCCCCAGUAGUUCUUGGCCUUCAUCGGAGUUUUGAUUCUCAAUUUUUAUCGCUUCAAACUAUCGUAUAAACUACACUUUUUAAGUGAUUUUUAGUUGGUAUAAUAAUAAUUUUAAUCCUCAAUUUUUAUACUUUAAAUCAAUUGACUUAAUCAUAUAUAAGAGGUUUGAGGGCGUAAAAAACCCUCAAAAUUUUUGUACAAAAACAAUUAAGCUCCUCCUUUUUUUUUUAUACUCAAUUGAGCACUUAAACUUUCAAAAUGCAUUAAAAAGACUCUCAAACUUCUUCAAAAAAAAAAGUAAUUAAGCCCAUGCUUUUUUUUACUCAAUUGGAUAAUUGAACUUUCAAAAUGCAUCAAAAAUACCCUUAAAUUUUUUCAAAAAAUAAUUAAGCCCCUGCUCUUAUUAAAAAUUAGAGAAAAAAUAACAAAUAAUAAAUUUUAGAAAAAUUAUUAAAUUUUAAUAAAAUUUUUAAAAUUUAUUAAAAAUUAGAUUUUUUUUAUAAAAAUCGUAAAAAAUAAAAAAUUGUAAAAUUUUAUAAAAAUCAUAAAAAAAUAAACAACCCCUAGUUUUUUCAAUUAAAGUCAUCACGUGUCACAACACAUCAUAACGUAUGGUGAAAAAUAAUAAAAAAAAUACAAAUCAAUAAAAUUUAUAAAAAAAUUAUAAAAUGUUUCUUUUGGUAUGAUAAUUUUUAUAAAAAAAAUUUACAAAGAAUAUAUUUCUUUACAUUUUGUAUAUUUUUCUUACAACUUUAUAAAAUUUUAUAAUUUUUUUACAUUUCUAUAUGUAGUAAGCCAAAUUCGCCCGGCCCAUUAGAAUCAAACCAAAUAGUAAAAAGCCCAAUAAUUAAAUAAAUGUCCAUUCAGUUAAUGUCCUAUUACAGACCCAAUAACUAAACCAUGACCCAAGAUCCAAUUUGAACUUAACCCAAAUUUACAUGGCCCAAUAGGCCCAGAACAUUAAACCAAGACAAACCCUAAAUCACCCCCUGUCUCCCUUGCGCCGCAACCCUAAUCACCAGCAACCCCCAGCGUCGUACACUCCUCCUGGCGCCACGCCCACACCCCGUACGCCAGCACACGCCCUCGUACACACACCACGCACUUGUACCUGCAAAGAAAUGGACAAAACGACAACAGCAACAAUGGCCAAUACGAAAAAGAACAAAAUUGUAUUUUUUAUUUCUUUUUUGAACAUUCGGCUAUAAAGCCGAUGAUUUUAUAUUGUAGGGGGUUCCUUUUUUACGCGCAUUUACGCAUACAGAAGCAAUAGAGAACAAAAACAGAGCAAGGUGAUUUUCUGCUUUGAACCUCUGAAAUCAUUACGUUUUUUUUAUCUACUCCCUUCGAUUUUCUUCCCUUUUGUUGUAUUUAAAUCAAAAGAAAAAUAAAAUAAGAGACUCACCUCGUUACUAGGCCAUCGGUACCCUUCCGCUUCGUCGAAAUCGGAGUUAGAAGGGGAAUCUGAGGCUAAAAUAGACCGUGCUCCGAAGUCCCGAGCGCUGGACGCCGCACCUUGCGGCGGACUGGUGUUUUCGAGGGAGAGAUUUGAAGUGCGGCUAAUAAAAGGGGUUAGGGUUCGGAGCAUUGAAAGUCUGAUAAAAUGGGGGUUUUAUAUGCGCGUGGGAACGACGUCGUUGAAGGCUUUGUCCACACGGCCUCAAAAUGGCGUCGCAUAAGCCUAUUUGACCCGACCUAAUCCUUUGACCCUGGGAUCCGCGCAUUUCCGCGGUGAGGGGGUAUUUUCAGCAUAGGUCCUUCCUCUUUUGUGCGACAUUUCAAUCAGCCAUUUUGUAUUAUUUUCGUUCUUUCUAAAUUCGCCCCAUAAAUUCAUACAUAAGUGCGAUUUAAUCCGCGCCUAAACACUGCGUUUUGGGAAUUGGAUAAUUUCCAGUCUAGGUCCUUACAUAGUUGCGCGCUCCGCACUUUGGUAAUUCUUUUUGAUUAUUUUAUUUAUAAAUUAGCCCAUUUAUUUUGAUUGAAUUUUUCAUUAGAUCUCAUUGAUUUGUACAGUUCAUUACCCUUGUAAAUUCACUUUAAUCUCUUUUAUAUACAUGUGCAUGCAUACUUUUUAAACUUUCAUGAUGAUUUCAUUACUUUAUUAUCAUAUUAUUUUACAAUAUUUUUAUAUAAAUACUUCAUUUG
Molecule: long non-coding RNA, 52318 nt
Filed under: Gossypium barbadense (sea-island cotton)
Lineage: Eukaryota; Viridiplantae; Streptophyta; Magnoliopsida; Malvales; Malvaceae
Description: long non-coding RNA (GBAR_LNC009301)
Source: RNAcentral